This 57163-nucleotide long non-coding RNA is filed under the name Gossypium barbadense (sea-island cotton). RNAcentral's name for it is "long non-coding RNA (GBAR_LNC005604)". Lineage: Eukaryota; Viridiplantae; Streptophyta; Magnoliopsida; Malvales; Malvaceae. The record is from RNAcentral.
GGUGGGAACGAGUUAGAAUAUUUCAAUUGCUAUUGAUGCGUGGCUUCCUAGUACUGAAAGUUAUAAGUGUAUAGGCCCAAAUUUGCCUGGGCCCACACCUAAAAUCAAAACAAAAAAUAAUAAUAAAAAUAAAAUCAUAAACCAAAUAAAUUAAAUGUCCAAGUCCAUUUACAACUCAACCCUAACUAUUAAAACCAAACCACUCAGCCCAACUACUAAAACAAACCUAAUUAACAAACAACCCAAACCCCAUACCCGAAUAAAACAAAAUAGGCCCAAUGGCCCAAAACACUAAUGAAUUUUUUCGGCAGAAACCCUAGGUCACUAGAAGCUUCAGCCGCCGCAGCCUCCAAUCGAUUCUUCCACGCGCGCCAUGCUUCACGCCCACGAAUAACUCCUCCACGCCAUGCACACCUGCAACAGAAAACAACGAAGCAGCAAUUGAUAGCAGAUCACAGCGAAUUACAGCAAAGAAUUUGUAUUUUCUUUUAUUUAUUUAUUUUAUUUUUCGGCUAUAAACCGAAGGAAAAUGAUGUAAAUGGGAUAUUUUUUUUCCUUUCUUUCUACGAAGAGAAUAAUAGUUGAAUAUACGCAUAUAUGAAAAGAGGAGAAAUCAAUUCAAAGAGAGUUUUCAAGAGGUGAUUUUAGAGUUUAUUUUUUCUUUCGAUUUUGUUUUUUUUUCCCUUUGAUUUUCAUUAUCGUGUGUAAUAUACAAAAUAAACAAGGGCAUAAGCACUUAUCUAAUAGAAGGAGCCUUCGAAUCCUUGUUGACUUCGUUGAAAUCGAAGCUUUGAUGGGGAUUCAGGGGGGUCCGAUUUGUUGACAUGGAAGCAAGGAGAGAAGAACUUCUUGGUUCGCUCGGUUGAGGAGGAAAAGAGAUUGAAAAAUUUUGAGAGAAAAUGGUUUUGAAAGCUGUUUUGAGAAGAAUAAUCAGUCUGAGGUUAUUAGGGCUUUUGUUUUGAUUCAUAUAUAUGCUCAAAAACGGCACCGUUUAGUAAAAACAUGGAUCUGCGCCUUAACCCAUUUGGAAGCCGAAUCUGCGCCUUUUUCACCUUGAAAGGUUAAUUUGCGCGUCUGGUCCUUUGACUUUGCGCAGAAUUUUUAAUUGAUCUUUAUUUACAUUUUAUUUUAUUUUGAAUUUGUCCUAGAAUUUGUGUCUUUGCGUUUCGGUCUGCGCCUAGGCACAGUGUUUGGAAAACUGGGAUAUUUUCAUAUCUAAUCCCUAUACAUUUGCACCCGUUGCACGCUGGUCCUUAUUUCUAUUUCAAUAGUUUUUUAUAUUUAUUAAUUAUCCCUUCUAAUUUGAUUUCAUUUCAAUUAAGUUUUACUUCAAUUUAUAUAUCUCAUUAUUUUUAAAAAAAAAAUCCUUUUAGCAUUCAUCUUUUAUUUUUUUAUUUUUUUAUAUACAUUUUGAAUUACCUUGAUAAGUUUACUUUGUUUUUUUCAAAAUUAUUAUUUUUAAAUUCCUUUUUAUAUCAUAUUAUUUUAACAUUUUAGAUAAUAUUUUUUUUAUAAAUGUUUUUGUACAUUAUUGUAUAUAUAAAUAAUUCAUGAUAAGGUUAAUUUUAUUCCAUGUAUAUUAUUAAUCUUAUAUUAUUUUAUACAUAUAAUUUCUUUUAAAUUUAUUCCUAUAUUUUAUUAUAUAUCUUUGCUAUUUAAAGGAAGAUCCUACAUCUCAAAUGUAUUAUUUAAAUUAUUAUUAUAUAUAUAUACAUGUAUAUUGGUACAUAUGUUUGAUUUAUAUACAUCAUUAAAUCCAUGUUAUUUUAUUCAUAUAAUUUCUUUUAAAUUUAUUUGUAUACAUCAUUAUGUUUUUAAAAUCUAUUACAUAUACAAUCUAUGAUAACAUUAAUUUAAUUUUAUAUAUAUUAUUAAUCUCAUGCUAAUUUUUACAAAUAAUUAUUCUUAAUAUAUAUGCAUGUUUUGUGAAUUUGUUAUGUGUAUUAUAUCUUAUAAUGUAUUUUUAUUAUUCUUUCAUAGCUUAUAUAUUAUUUAAGAAUCAUGUACAUUGUCAAAUUUUUAAAUGAAUUUAUGUUUAAAAUAUUUUGUAUAUAAUUUGCUUCAAACUUUUAUUCUAUAAUAUUUAUUUCAAUAAUUAUAUAUCCCUAGUUUUUAUACAAGCUUGUCAACUUAUAUUAUGUGUUCAUUAAUUUAUCAUUAUUUUGAAAAUGUCUUACACCACAUUGACUUCUAAAUUCCAUUUUAUUUUGUACAUGUUUUGGGGAUUAUUUUAUAUUGUGCCAUAUUUAUUUUUUAUGUAUAUCAUUUAGUCAUUGUUUUGUUCAUUAUAUUAAUUGUGCUCCAUCCAUGAUUAAGAAUUUGGUUACAUUUACUUAGAAUAGUUGUACAUAAUUGUUGGAUUUAUUAAUUGUGGUUUAUUGUACUAUAUGUACAUAUUGUUUCAUGUUCAUUAAUCCUUUUCUAUACAAAUGUUUCAUUACAAUGCAUUAAGUAUUCCAUCUAUUUUAAAACAAAUAAAUGCGUUUUGAGCGAAAUUCCAAUUUUCCUUAUUAUUCAAAAAUUCUAAAAUAAGGCAAUAUCCAAUAUUUGAGAAUUCCAGAAAUCGUGCCCUACCGUGCUGGGUAUGAUUUUUUUGGUGAACUAAAUAUUUGGAUAUCAUUUUAUAAUUUUAGGGUACAAGUUUUUGAAAGUCAAAAAUCAAUCGUAUCUUUGAAGAUAUAAAGGAUCGUAUCCAAUCGUGCUGGGUAUAAUGCUGCAUAUUUUUGAAACGAGAGAAUUUUGACAGUUAAAUUGAACUAUUAAUCAUUUUAAAGAACUAUGCUUUGAACGAUAUUUUUUUAAAAUCUUUGAUAUAAAGAUAGCAUCGAAUCAAUUUGGUACCAAUUUUUAGACGUAAUGAAGAUGCUCACAUUUUCUCAUACGUAACCGACUCCCAAACUCAUUGUUUUAAAAAAUUUUACAAAAUUAUUUUAAAUAGAAUAAAAAAUUUUAGUAGAUGACCUACUCCCACCUAAGCAAAGAGAUUGGUGGCUACUCCAAUGGUUUCGACAAUAAGGUAGAAUCAAUUAGGAAUUCCAGUGAACUAAGUAAAGUGGCAGAGCUUAUUAAUGAACAAAAGAUAGAAUGGAGGUCUGAUUUAAUUUAUUCUACCUUCUCUAGAGAAGAAAUAAUUAGAAUUGUACGAAUUCCCUUAGCAAUGGAACCUCAUGCGGACUUCAUGGUAUGGAAGGGGGAGGCCCAGAGAGAAAUCUCGGUGAGAAGUGCUUGUAAACUAUUACAUGGCUUUAUUCUUAAUUAUUUACAGACUGAGGCUAAGUUAUUUUACAAAAAAAUUAUUGAAUAUUCACAUUUCAGUGAAAAUUAAAAUCCUAAUCUAGAAAAUUUCUUGGAAUUUUAUUCCCCAUUUUGUUAAUCUUCGGUGCAAGAGAUUGCUCUCAGAGGUAGUCUAUCCCAGAUGUGGGGUAGCUGAUGAAAACAUUGACCAUAUCUUCAGAGAAUGCCCUGUGGCACGAGAAGUUUGGAUUAGCUUGAAUUUGGAAUGGGUAUUAACAAAUUUAUUUUUAUCACACUGGGAGUGGUUUACCUGGGUGUUCAAGAACAGUUCCAGCAUUCAAUGUCGAGUAUUUUGUUGCUCUUUGUGGGCGAUCUGGACGGCCAGAAACAAAGCAUUACAUGAGGGAAAGAAAAGUACAGGUCCAGAAAUUGUUGCAUGUAUAAACAAAUAUAUUAAGGAACUAGAAGGGUGUGAGAUUCAGGAUUUUACCACGAGGCAUGAGUCUAUAGGUUGGUGCCCACCAAUUGAUUCCAUUGUCAAAUUGAAUUUCAAUGCCGCUUUUGAUGACUCUCAGGCAAAAUUAGUCUCAUGGGUGGUGGCUAGAAAUGCUUCGGGAGAGGUCCUCACCUUCAAAACAGAGGUCCACGGGGAGGUGGCCUCUUCAUUUGCAGAAGAGGCCCUUGCGUGCCUUCAAGCAAUGUUUUAGGGAAAACAGAUGGGGUUCAUAUCAGUUAUCAUCGAAUGAGUUUUAGUAUCAGUAAUAAAAAAAAGUAACUCAGAGAAUACUAAUAAAUAGGUGAUUGGGGGUAAAAUAAGGAACAUUCAGCAGCAAAAGCAAUUUUUUCACCAAAUAACCUUUCAACAUACAAACAGAUUUGCAAAUAUUAUGGCUCACAACUUAGCUAGAGAAGCGAUGAAAGAAGAGUCGCGAACUUACCUGGUCGGAAAGGUCCUUGAGCCAAAAUCAUUGGAGAUGGAUCCACGGAGAAGAAAUGAACCUGAUUGAUGGUUGUUUGAUAGAGGGUCUCUGCGUGGAAAGUAAAAAGGAAAGUGGAAAUUAACGGGUUUUGGAAACCGCUUUUCUGGGGAUUAGAAUUGAUGCAUUAAAUGCGAAAUGCUAAUUAGAUUCCAACUGUUAUCAGACUGGAUGUUUUAUUUAAUUUCUGUUUAGUUUUUUCAUCUAUUUCUUUAGGAAUCAUUUAAGUUUUUGCCAUAGUUGGGUUUUGUUUUUUGGUGGGCUUGUGGAUUUUGAUAGCCCAUUUGUAUCUUUUCUCAAAAAAAAAAAAAAAAUUCCCCUUAAGAGUUACUUUAUCAUGAACAUGCCAAAGUGAUUUCCUUAAUAAAAUGUGAGAAAAUUAAAAAUAAUAUUAAGACAAGAUUAACUAUAUUUUAUAUUAGUUUAGGGUAUUAGUCUAUUAAUAAAAUGUAAAAAAAAAAGUUAUUGCCUUCUUCCUUUGUCAUACUAAAUUUUCUCUAUUAUUUAAAUAGAUUAUUCGCAAGUAUUGUAUAUACAUUUUUUUUAUUUAUUCCGAAACAAGUUUUAUAUAUACAUGAUUUUAUAUGUGCAUUAUUAUAUUUAUAAAAUAUAUGUACGACAAAUUUGAAACAAGUUUACAUUCAAUUAACAUUAUAAAUUAAAAAAAUUUAAAAUAUCAAUUAAAAUUUAUUAUUGAAUAUUUAAUCUAAAUAUUUAUUAAGAGUAAAGUUUAUUAUAAAAAUUAAAUACAUGAAUAUUAUCUUUUAUUUAAUAAUGAUAAAUUCAUAAAUCAUUAUUACAUUUUUAAAAAAUUACUCAGUGAAUAAAAAAUAAUAAUGUAACUUUCUUGAUAUUUUAAUAAAUAUUAAAUGUUAUAAAAUAACUUUCCAAGAAAUUAGAUUGCAUUGGAAGCACCAAAUGCUAUCUAACUUUCCUUAUUCUAGUCUCCGAUUGUGAAAGUAACUCUCAUGCAUAGCUAUUUAAGGAUGUUGUUUUAAUUAAUUAAUUUAUUUAUUUUUAUUUUAAAUGAAAUUAUUAUAUGUUUUAAUGAUAUUUCAUUGAAAUUUUUUAAGGUUGCAUGCGUACUUAACUAAGGACAUAAUGAUGUUUCAUUAUUUAAUUGAUUAAAUGUCUUCACUUCUAUUUUUUUAUCAUUAAAUUUUGUUUUUAAUUUUUUUUAUUUCCUAAAAUUUUCAUUAAAGUAAGCUAGUGAUUAAUUAGGAUUAUAAAAUUUAUAUUAUUUUUAUUUAAAUGGAAAAAUAAUUUGAAUAUAAUUAGGAUAUUAAAUUAUGAAUUUCAUGCUUCCUGAUAUAAAAUUUUGAAUUCCAUUAAAUGUUAAUGCUUAUUUUCUUGAGUCCUGAGUUUGAUUCUUCUCUUAUUUACAUUUGUAUUUUUUAUUUCAUGUUAUUUUAAGUUUUUUAUUUUUAAUUUGUGUUUAUAAUUAAUAAAUAUAUUAUUUUCAAGUUUUUUUUAUUUUUAAUUCAUCUAUGUUUUAUUUAUAAAAUCAAAUAAUAAAUAUGUAAUUAUUUUUUAAAAACAUUAACUAUUUCUUUAGAUAUAUUUUUCUUUAUAUAUAAUAUUUAUAUGUCAAUUUUUUUUAUAUUCCGACUAAUAAACUCCAAGCUCCAAACAACGAUUCGAUGAUUGAUACGGUGAAUUAGUACCAUCGACGAGUAUAACAUACUUUAGAUCCAAGUUGAUUUGAUGGCCAGUGUUGAAGAUUAAAGAAGAAAGCUUUUGGAUUUUGGUUUGAAUAUUUGUAACGUUCAAAGUUAAUUUAUGGGAAAAAAAAACUAAAUUGUAGAGGAGACCUUUCGAUUGGUAUAGACAGUAUAGGCAAAGAAGGCCAUACAACAACGAUUUUAACAGCAUAGUUACUUAAAUGAAAAUUUUUGAAUUUAUUUAACUCGGACUUAAAAUUAAAGGCGAAGGUAGAAAAUUUUUUGGAGGGUCGAAAUUAAAUUGUAUUUUUUGUUAAUCGUAAAAAUGGAAUUUCACCAUUUUAAUAGCCUAUAUCUUUAUAAUUUUUAAAGGAUUAGAUCAAAUUUUUAUCGUUUUUGGGAGGACCAAAGUGUAAUUUUACCUUUAUUAAUUUAAAAUUUUAUAAAUUUUCCAUUUUAAAGGGAUCAGAACUUGCUCAAAAUAAUUCAAAUUUGAAAAGAUCGAAAUUCAUAAUGAUCCAAUAAAAACUUGAAAUAAUCUAAAUCCAAACUCAAAAAUUUAAAAUAACUCAAAUUUGGAAAUGAUAAAUUAAAAAAAUUAAAAGUAUUGAUACAAUAAUUUUUUUUAUACAAGUGAAUAAUUGAGGAAGGAGAUCGAAUCAUAAACUUCAAAUCAAUCAAAUUAAAAUCCUAACGAGUUAUGGGAGAUCAAACUGAAAAAUUGGUAAGAUUCAAAGGCAUGUUUAAAAUUUAAGGCUUAUUAAUAUUUUUUUUCAAAAUAUUUUAAACCUGAGAGUUAAUAAACCUUGGUCCAAGUGCUGUCAAACUUGGCAAACUUAAUUUUUACAAACCUAGCUCUAAUACUAUCAAAUGUAGCGUCUCAACCUGAAUCCAGAACGUCACAUCUCUUCGUUGAUCAUCAAAACAUACCACAGAAGCCACCAUUCAGACUGUAUAGGUACACGCUUAAUUACCAAUAAAUAAAUGAAAUUAAACACGCAAGCCUUAAAAUCAUGCUCUUCUAACAAAAUCAUUAAAAUGACAUUCAAGGGUAAAAAUGUCUUUUUACAUACAAUAAACGAAACAUUCAUAAAACCACAAAUUUAAACAUGCAUACAUGUUAUGGCAUAUUAUUUCAAAUAUUAAUUGGAAGAAAAUACUAGAACCGGUAAGUAAAACUCAUUUAAUUUUAAAAAUAAAGGUUAAGGACUAAAUCAUAAUUUUGGAAAAUUUUCCAAAAAAUAUAUUUUUAUAAUAUUGAAAGUAAAAUUAUAAAACUAAUCUUAUAAAACUUGGUCGUGCAAAUUUUCUAAACAUUGUAUUAUUUUUAAGGGAUUUGAUUACUUAGUAUAAAAAUCAGGACUAAAUUGCCAUAACCAUAAAACAUGCCAAAUUUCUUUAAUCUAACAUAUUAUAUAGCAUACAUAAAACACACAAACAUGUUUACAGUCAUUAAAACAUACAACAAUACAAUUCAAAACUUCAUCCAAUUAUCUAUACUACCAUGCAUUUACAAGUCCACAACCAAUUUAGCAUACAUACCAUCCAUUAACAUGCAUACUCGUUCAAGCAUUUCAAGUAACAUUCUAAAACAAUCCAAAGUCCUAAAAAUCAAUUAAACAGAUCAUAAUGUCUUAUUACAAUCCAAACAAAACAAAGUCUAAUUCCCUCUAUGGAUAAGUCCAACAUAGCCUUUAUUAUUUGCAAAUUCAAACCAAGUCACCUACUUAAAAAAUUGCCUUGCUUUGAAUCACCACUUGCAUACUACCCCCUCCUCACACAAGCUAUUUUUCUGCAAAAUAAACAUAAGAAAGUGUAAGCUUUUUCAAAUUCAGAGAGUGCUCAUGGUUUGCAACCAUUAGGCAUAAAAUACAUAGUUGAAGAGAGCACACUAAGUCAAGAAAUCAUGGUAUAGCAUCAAAGAUAUCUCAUUACACUCAUAACGAUAUAUUGGCAUAAUGUGACAAGGAACAUAUAUAUAAUCAGUAAUGCAUUGGAUAAGCAGAUCCCCAAACACUCCAUAUGACUCAAAGAGUCAUACACUAUCUCCAUAUAAGUGUAGCAUGAAUGCUAACACUCUCCAAACACUCCACUCUAUCUUUAAUGAAUGGAGCUAUGCUCUACUUUCCCUUAUCCCUCGAUCGUUAUCUUCGGGACAUAAUGCCUCAUCAUAAACAAUAAAGGUGAGUACUCACUAUCUUAUGGCAUGUAAAUGAUAUCUAAAACUUCCAAGUGUUCAAAAUGCCAACAUAUCCACUUAAAUACACAUUUACAUAUUGUUUUAUACACAUAUUCACUUGUUAAUAACACUUUCACAAUUCAUUAUAUGCACUCUCAAGUGCUAACACAUUUGCUCAAAAGAGCCAUAGUUACUUUAAAACAUAAUAGUGUGCAAGAUUUAGCAGUUCACUUAACAAACAUUGCCAAAUUCACUUAUCACUUGCUUAAAUAUUUCAUGUGAUUUUUUACGACCUCACAUACAAGCAUCAUAUGUAAUAGGAUAUAGUUUAGGGUUCUCUCAGACUUAAAUUAGGUGUUUAGAACAACCUAAGCUCCCUUCAACCUUAGGAAUCAUGCUUGAAAGCUACAAUUCCAACGGCUUACCUAGUCAACACCUUUUGCACAAUGAUCUCAAAUGAGCUUUUCUUUCUCUUUCACCUUGCUCGUAGAAGUUCCCGACGAGUCUGGCACUUUGCAUACAAAUUAAAUACAUCAAAAACACAUUAUUAAUAGCCAUAAACUCAAACAAACAACAGCAAAAUCACCAUUCUAAGCUUACUUUCUCAUACCGAAAAUCAACUCAUUUUUCCAAAAUGUCAGGUUUUCUCACUCGAUUUUUGCUCCUAAACCUUAAUUAACCUAUUAUUAUAAACAUAAACCUUCAAUUUUACCUAAUCUGACAAAUUUUAAAUUUCUGAAAAAUCAAGCUUGUGUGAACACACAAAAGGGGGAAACUCAAAAUUCAUUAAAAUUAGAUACCGAUCUAUAAAAUUGAGUUCAAAUACCUUCUAUUUGGUUCAAAAUAGGUUAGAAAUCAAUCAAAAAUAGUAGGUUAGCCAUUAUUUCGGAUUUCACUAUUGUUGAACCAAGAUUCGAUUAAAAAGCUUUAAAUGUUAAAAAUUCUCAACACACUCAAUUAAAUUCCAAAUUAGAAAAACAACCUUAAUCUAGUCAUAAUAAGUCAAGACAUUACCUCAAUUUGAAGAAAACAACAUUUUUUGGAGCUAAUUUGAAGUUGAACGUGAGAAGGAUAAUGACGAAUUUGAUGAGGAUUUAAUGAUUUUUCUUUAAAAUUGGAAGGUGUUGAGGUGUUUGGAUAGUUAGAAAAUCACUAAGGAUGAGUUAAUUUCGAGAGAAAAUAUCAAAUUUAAAUUUGAGAAUUUUUGUUGAAUGAGAAAUCAAAUUAAGAAACGGUUGGGUGUUCAUAUAGCCAAUCAAUUUUUAAAUAUUGGGUUAUUACCCUUUUGUCCCCUUCCUAUUUCUUUCCUUAUUCAAAUCAACCCUAAUUCAAUUUAGAACUCAUUACUUUAAAAUUUGAGCUCGUAUUUAAUUCCAUUUUAACUUAAUUAAUUCUCGAACAACAAACUUUAAUUUCUUUUAUUAAUUAAUUAAUUUUUUUAAUUAUGGUUUUUGUUUUAAUAUUUUAUUUAAUUAUUUAUUACAAUCCUAGUUUCCGGCACCUAACUCAAAUACUCGAUUUACUACAUCGGUCUUACUAACCUGAUUUUUGGGAUGAAAGACUCACCUUAACCCACCAAAUACUAAACUCAUUGUUACUUAAACCUUCACUUGAUACCAGGGGUGUAACACCCCAAAAAUUUGAUUGUUGGCUGUAGAAUUUUAUCGUACUUACUUCUCUAUAUCUGUGAUUAAGUGCUUCUUUUAUGUGUUCGAGGUCAAGGUUUCGAGUCGUUCUUUUAAAAGAUCCUACUAUUUUAUUUUAAUUGAAUCCCUAUUCUUGAUCUAUCGACUUAAGUUUAAUUAUGUUUAAUUCUAUGUCAAGAAUGAGCCUGUUGGUUAAGUGGUUAAGCAUCUGUUCCCUUACCGAUCUUGUGUUCAAGUCUUUGUGGAAACAAUGUAUGGUUGGUAAACAGGGAUCGAUUUUUUAGCAAGGUACGGAAUGUAUCGUCAAAUAUUCAAUAUGAUUCCACAAGAUCUAGUUUAGUUCAAGUGACGGAUUUUCGCCAAUUGAAAGGAUCUUCUGAUCAAUCCAGAGAUCGUUUCGAUUCCAUUAGUAAUGAUGAUUCGAAAUAUCACACAUUGAUCAAUCAAAGAGAGAUUUAACAACUAAAAGAAAGAUCGAUAUUUAGUUGGCUAGUUUUUUUUAAAGUUAAUUAUUUUAACACACGGACAAUCUAGGUUUGAUCCUCAGUAAUGAUGUAAAUUUCAAUUUUUACUCGCUGUUUAUGAAUUAGGACCAUACAGGCAGUAGACACGGGCGUGUGUCCAAGCCAUGUGAAUCACUGUUUUGGAAAGUAAGGUUACACGGGCUGACGCAUGGGCAUGUGCUAGGCUAUGUGGAGCCACACGGGCCAGCCAUCCAAGCAGUGUGAAACCACGCGGACAUGUGGACUAAAAAUUAGAAUUUUUCCCUUGAGCUCCAAGAGUUGUUUGAAAUGAAUGUUGGCCUUUUGUGGGGUUCCAUAUGAACUGAAUUAAACUGUAUAAAUUGUUAUUUUGUGAUAUGAGAUUGUAUACUGAAUAUUUAUAAUGGUAUUGAUUGUGAAAAUUGGUAACGACAUAGAUAUAUUCUAUGAGCAUAAACUAUAUAUGAAUGACAAUUUAAGCAUCAUUGUUAACUGUCAUCUGAAAUAUGUAUCUGUAUUGGGUGGGAAUUGGGUAAAGAAUGAAGUGUUCUAUUUUGAAUUAGUGACUAAGCCACCGGUAUCUGUAACCUGAUCUGGUAGCUAGUCUAUAAUUAUCGAAAAGUGUUCUACUGAUACUAUGGUGUGUAGGCCUGGAUAAGUAUUAAAUACUCAAUUUGGUGUGUUGGGUUGGUUGGAGAUUGUGUGUAGCAGAUGAGGGUAGAAAAAUUGCUUUUAUUCUGUAUCUAGGAAUAAACUGACUUGUUAUCUGACCGAUUUGUUUUGAUCUACUAAAGUACAAAUUAUCUUCUUUAUCUAAUUUCGAAUAUGAAUUUGGGAGCUUAUUAAUUUAACUUUAACUAUGUUUGAAUAUAUAAUUGUUUCUUUAUUGAAGUUAUUAAUUUAUUUUUUCUUUUAACUGAAUUAUAGGUAACCAUAGACAUGAUUGGGUUGGUGGAUCGGGCGCUCGGUCACACUUUUUAUAAACUAUGAUUACUAUUAGUUAAUUUCAGUAUUUUCUAGAGAUUUGACUUUCUAAACGAUAAUUUCUGGUGUAAACGUUAUGUUUGUUAAAUUCCUUGGUUCGGAAGACUUUGAAAUUAUAUUUUGACAAAUAUUUGAUGUAGCUCUCCAAAUUUGGUUUUGUCAUUUAGGCUGAGUAUAAGUUGCUACAUUUAGUGGUAUUAGAACUAGGUUCCGAACACUUGAGCUGUGUUUUUGAGAUAUUGUUUUAAUAAAAAUAUGUUUUAAAAGAAAUACAUAUUCGAAUAAUUCUAAUAACUGAUUUUUUAAAAGAUUGAGUUCCGAUGCCAAACCUGUAAGUGUUCCUACUUUAGCUAUACUAUUGGCUAGAAACUACUAUAGUAACUAAAAUUAUGGGACUUUGAUAUGAGUUGUGAAUUAAUAUAUCUGAUGAGAAUUCUAAAUUGAUCUGUGCACUUUUGGCAUUAUAGAUAAACUAAUAUUAUGAGUUCACGCGGUAGUCGUGGAUAUGAUUCUCGUGGGCGUCAUGGACACCGAUGGGGAGCUCGAACAAAGCCAUCCUUUAUGGGUAGUAUGCCUAACUUGGAAACCAGCGAAACUGUUGGAACUCCUACUGUUGAGAUUGGGUCUUAGACUCUUACCGCUGGAGACAACGAAUUAUCCCAGGCUAUGUUAUGUGUGCUGAAGAGGGUUGCUGUGACCCAUUCUGGAUCUGGGGGCCAUGGUUUAGUUACCGAGCGACUCCGGUCAAAUGACACUGAGUUAUUUAGAGGUAUUAUGGGACUCUUCCCUACAGUGGCCGAGUGUUAGUUAGAGGCCACUGAGCGUAUAAAGAACGACAUUAUCUACACUUUUAUACAAAAACUGAAGGGUGUUGUAUCUCUACUUUGAGAUGAAGCCUAUCAGUGGUGAUUGACGAUUGUGCAAAGUCCUCAGCCCGAAAAAAUUACUUGGGACUACUUCAAGAAUGCCUUCUAGAGUAAAUACGUAGGGGCAAGUUACUUGGAGGCUCGUCGAUGCAAGUUUAUGAAUUUAAUUCAGGGUAAGAGGUUUGUGGUCAAAUGUGAGGCUGAGUUUUUAAGAUUAAGCAAAUAUGCUCAAGCAUUGGUGGCAUCUGGUUAUGGUAAAAGUGUAAGGUUUCAAAAAGGUUUACAUUAGGAUCUACGAGUCCUGAUAGCUCUUCAAAAGGAGCGAGUAUUUGCAACUUUGGCUGGCAAGGCUAAGAUAGCAAAAGAAUUUAAACACACUAAGCACGAGAGGCAAGAUCGAAAGAGAGAUCAAAGUAAGGUUACUAAGAAUUCGGGUCCCUCUAGUUUUAUACAGCACUCUAAGAAACGGGUUAAAUUUGACGGGCCUCUAAGGACUGAGGCACCAGCUACAGCGAUUAAGGUUUAGACCUGUAGUUACUGUGGGAGAAGCCAUCCGGGCUAGUGUUGGAAAAAGUUGAGGGCUUGUCUUUGAUGUGGAUCAAUGGAACAUAGUGUUCGGGACUUACCCCAACGAAUUGAUCAGGUGCAAGCUCCUUCAUUGGUAGCCACUUCGGAUCAUGUUCAACCUCCGAGAGUAGUACAAUAGCCAUUUAGGGGCCGUGAUAUGGUUGGGAGUGGUUUUCGUUCUGAUCAAGGUCAGAGAGGACCGAGCAAAAGUGCAGGCCAAACUGAGGCACAUCAACUUACUUUUGUGUGUGCGACGUAGGAUCGCGAGGAUAGGGUCGAUGCUGACGUUAUAGCGGGUACAUUCUUUAUUCAUGUUAUUCAAUAUUUUGUUUUAAUUGAUAUAGGGUCUACACACUCAUCUAUAUAUCUAGUAUUAUAUCUGUGAAAUUGGGUAUUUCUGUUGAAUGUACUGCUAGAGAGGUUUUUGUGAUUACUCCUUGGGUUAGUCGGUUCGGGUUGACUAAAUAUAUAGACGGGUUUCGUUAGAGAUUCAAGGGUUAGUAUUUCUAGCUAACUUAAUGGAGUUGCUUUUUGAUGAGUUUCAUCUAAUUUUAGGAAUGGAUUAGCUCGUGGAACAUCGGGUCAGUCUAAAUUGUGCCUCUAAAAAAGUUACCUUAAAAACUGACAAGAAUUGCGAGAUCGUUAUGAUUGGUAAGCGUCAAGAUUUCCUCUCUAAUGUAAUCUCCGCCCUAAUAGCUAAAAAAACUAGUUCGAAAAGAUUGCGAGACAUACCUUCUUUUUGUGUCUAAUUUUGUUUCUGCAAAGCUUUCCGUUAAAGAUAUUCAUACGGUAAAAGACUUCUCAGAUGUUUUCCCCAAUGAGUUACCUAGUGUGCCUCCAAACAAGGAGAUUCGAUAUAGAAUUGUUAUCGGGUAUUGCUCCAGUGUCCAUUGCACCGUAUCGCAUGGCACCGAAGAGGCUUGCAAAGUUAAAAGUUUAACUUCAGGAACUUCUUGAUCAAGGGUUCAUUAGGUCAUAUGUGUCUCUAUGGGGAGCACUGAUUUUUUUUGUCAAGAAAGACGGUUCCAUCAGAAUAUGUAUAGAUUACUGUCAGCUAAACAAGUUGAUAGUAAAGAAUAAGUAUCUAUUACCAAGGAUCGAUGAUUUAUUCGAUCAUGUCUGUGGGGCAUCGGUAUUCUCUAAAAUUGAUCUUCAAUCUAGGUACUAUCAACUCAAGGUUAAGGAGACUGAUGUGUACAAGACUGCUUUUAGGACUCACUAUAGGUAUUACGAGUUCCUAGUUAUGCCAUUUUGUUUGAUGAACGCUCCAGCUGCAUUUAUGGACUUAAUGAAUCGAGUGUUUCAGCCGUAUUUGGAUAAGUUUGUUGUAGUUUUUAUAGACUACAUUUUGAUUUAUUCCAAGGUUGAGUCUGAGCACGAUAAGCACCUUCGUAUUGUUCUAUAAACACUCCAUGAAAAAUAACUAUAUGCUAAGUUUAGUAAGUGUGAGUUCUGGUUAUAGGAAGUUUCCUUUCUGAGGUAUGUUGUGACUGUCGGAUCCAGAUCGAUCUAGGUCUAUCCCAAGAAAAUUAAGGUUAUGGUCGAGUGAAAACAGUCAAAGAAUGUGUCUAAUCUUCGAAGCUUUCUAGGCUUGGCAGGGUAUUAUCGGAGGUUUGUCAAGGGUUUUCUCUGAUUGUGUCCCCUUUGACUAAGUUAUUACGCAAAAACACCCCAUUUGCGUGGUCUGAUGAAUAGCAGCCGAGCUUCAAAAAGCUCAAGUCUGUUCUGACACAAGCUCCUGUUUUAGUUAAGCUUGAAUUAGGUAGGGAGUUUGUGGUUUACAGUGAUACAUCGUGCGUCGGUUCGAGAUGUGUUCUAAUGCAAGAUAGUAAAGUCAUAGCAUAUGUGUCUCGGCAACUUAAGUUAAACGAAGGUAAUUAUCCUACUGAUAAAACUUUAAAAUGAUAUACUUUUAUGUGUUAAUUACAUAUAUAUUUUGGGUAUGAUCCUAUUAAUUUGUGUUUUUUAUGGUUUUUUUAUCUUGUAAGAACUAAAUUAAAGGCAAAAAGAAAUUUGAGGGUAAAAUGCGUGAAUUUAAAGAUAAAAUGGGUCAAAAUGCGAUAAAGGGAAGAAGUGGUACUGAAAAUACAAAGUGUUGAAGACUUAAGGCAAAUUUUCAAAGAAGAGAUUUAUGUACCUAAAACUUUGUUUAAACUUGAAUUCUAUUUUUAGGAUUAUUGUUAGGAUUAUUAUAUUGUUUAGAUUUAAUUUCAAAUUAUAUCUCUUAAACAUUAUCAUCUAGAGUUUAAAUAGGAACUAAUUAAGGUUUUUCACGUACUAUAAAUAAGAGAUGGAGUGACAUGAAUACUGAUUCAUCACUUCUAUAAAAAAAACUCCUUCCCCUUAAGGCACUUAGCCUUUUGUUUCUUUCCCUUUCUAACAAAAUUUCGUUCAUUAUACUUGUGUUUUUAUUCCCAAAAAAAUGAGUAACUAAACUCGUCUAGCCAAAGGUGUAAUGGCCUAAAUUCAAGGUUAUCGGAACAGUGGUUUCGUAACCACAAAUCCGAUUUAAAGAUAAAUUUAUUUCAAUAUUUUUGCAUGAAAAUUGAUAUGAUAGGAAAAUCGUAUGAAAAUAUUGAUAGAAAAAUUUUACCAAUUUAGUGAUUAGAUAGAAAAAAGAAAUUAUUGAAGAAAUUGGGUAAAACCAAUGUAUCGAGACCUCUAUCUCGUAAAACCGAGUCAAAAAUAAUUUUAUAAAUAUUUAUGAAAUGUUAUUAAUGUGGUAUUAAAAUUUCGUUAGGAAAUUUUAAUGUUUGGGUAGUCAAUUAAAUGAAAAGGACUAAAUUGUAAUAGGUGUAAAAGUUGCUAGAAUGAUUAAAUAGCUUAAAAGUCUAAUGAGAAAGGAUUUAAAAGGCAAUUAGACCCAAAAGUUAUUUGGGCUGGACGGCAAGGGUAUGAAAUCAACAGAAAAAUUGAUAAAUUAAGGGUAAAAUUGGAAUAUUGCAAAAUUAACUAAAUAAAGCUAAGACUAAAUAGGAAAUAUCUAGAUUUCUCUUCAUUUCUCUUCAAUUACAGCAGCUAAAAACGCCAUAGGAGGGUUCUCUAAGCUGGUAUUUCAUAAUAUUUGCACCAAGUGAGUUAAUCCUUUCCUUUUUCUUGUAAUUUUUGUGUUUCUAAGACUUUUACAACUAGGUCCUACUAUUAAAUUCAUUAGUUUUUGAUUUCAUGGAUGAAAUUGAAAGUCACCAUGGUUGAGUGCUGUAAUUUUAUGAUGAAAUAGAAUGAAAUUAAAGCUUUAAUUUGUUUAUGAGAUGAUUUUAUUAGGUAAUUUCAAUAGAAAUUGAUUUUUAGGACCUAAUUGUGAAAAUGCUUGGAAUUAAAGUCUAUUACUGAAAUUCUGAUUCCUAAAGGUUGUAAACUAGUUUAAGGUGAUAGAAUAAAAUGUUAAUUGAGAAAAAUCAGCUCAAUUGAGAGGCUAAUUGAGUAGGGACGAAAUUAUCAUUUAUUAAAAGCUUAGGGCAAAAAUGGUAAUAAACAGCUUGCACAAAAAUAGUUUGGACAGCAGCAGUAGACUAACUUUGAAAAAUCACCAUAAAUUGUAGAAAUUGAAUUAGAAGAUGAAAAAAAAUAUGGCAUUAAAGCUUAUUGAGUCUAGUUUCUCAAAGAAGAAAUAGUGUAAGCAAUGGAUUUGUAAAUUUUGAGAUAUAAUGAAUUUUGUGAGACAAGGUCAGAAUGAAUUCGGGUUCCCCUGUUCUGACUUUGAAAAAUCAUAAAAAAUUUAAGAAAAACAAUUAUGGGCUUAAAUUUAUAUGUCUAGAAUCCUUAAUGAGUCUAUUUUUAAGACAAACAAACAAUAACAUCAUUUGAAUUCUGUAUAAAGAGCUAAUUAAUUUUUAGUGAAGAAGGGUCAGAACUGUCGACAGUAGAACAGGGGUGACUUUAAAGAAUAAACUGUACUUAUUGGCUAAACCAAAAAUUCUGAAAAUUUUAUGGUAAAAAUAUAUAUGAGUCUAGUUUCAAGGAAAAUCAAUGGAUAUUAAUUUGGAGUUCCGUAGCUCAAGUUAUAAAUAAUUUAGUGACUAUGACUCAAGUAGACAGCUUUGAAUGAACUAUAAAUAAUAGUUGAAUUAUAGAGAAUGUUGCAUAUGAACAUGAAAUGUAUUAAAUUGAUAAUUAAAUUUAUUUAUUUAGAUCCGGAAGAUUCAAAUACGAAGCUAGAUCAAGGAAAGGAAAAAGUUCGGGAUUAGUAGAUUUUUAUUGUUUACAAACAAGUAUCAAGGUAUGUUCAUGUAACUUGAAUUAUAUUCUUAAAUGCUUGAGAUUGUAUGUUAUUGAUGUGAAUAUGAUUUGAGUGUUCAUUGUAUGAAAAUUAAUGAAAAAUUGAUAUAUUUGAUAAAAUAGGAAGAAAUCCCGGUUGAAUGAAAGGAAAAUUCGAUGGAUCUCUGAAAAGGAAUUGACGGUAAAAAGGAUCUAGCCCGGAUGGGUGAUCCUAUCCUGAUAUAGCCCUCCCAAAGAAUAUGUGUAAAAUGGAUUUAGCCUAGACGGGUAAUCCGAAUUAGGGUCUGAAUUUAGCCUGGACUGGUAAUUCAGAUCCAAGCUCAUUAGAGUAAUUGUCGUUGCAGGGGAUUUAGGCUGGACUGGUAAUCCCGACAAUACUCUAUGAGUUUAUAUUGCAGGGAAUUUAGCCUGGACUGGUAAUCCCGCUGCAAGGUUGAGGUUCGCGGGAGUGUGCUCUCUGAAAUGGAAAUGUGCACACAUGAAUAUGAAUUGACGAACCCGAAAUUGUACACUAAAAGUGUACCUCUGAAAAUCCAUCGAAAUUCCGAUAAAUUCGACGGGAUAAAUAUGGAAAAUAAUAAGGGAAUGAAAAUAAUGGUAUUGAUGAGUACAUCAAUCAUGGUAUAUAUUAUUGGUACAUGGAAAUUAUUGUACUAACUUAAAUGUUGAGUUUGUGCAUAUUAGGGUAAUAAUGCAUUGAAUAGAUAUAUGGAUGUUUAUUGUAUUGUAUUGAAAAUAUUAGGUAAGUAUAAUUCUUGUUACAUGAGCUUACUAAGCACGAAGUGCUUACCCCGUUUCCUUUUUCCCUGUUUUGUAGUGUUAAGAGCUCGGAGGUCGGAUUUGGUCGGAGACACAUCACACUGUCAACCUCAGGAUUUCGAUAUAUAAAGAAACUUUAUUUUAGAAAUCAAUGGCAUGUAUAAGCUAACAAAGUAAAUGUUAACGUGAAAUGAAUGUAAAGUUAGCCAUUAGUAUGGUUAACAAACCUGGUUUUAGAUAUGUGAUGACAUUAUCUUAUAAAUAUGCAUAAAUUUAUCUUGAAAAUAUGUUGAAUUGAUUUGGUUGAUGUGGAUUGAUCUCGAUUUAAUAUUGCAGGGAAUGUUAGAUAUUUAUAAAGGGGCUAUAUUGAAUAUAAAAAAAAUUAAUUCGUAAACUCCGGUAAUGCCUCGUACCCAAUUCCGGCAAUGAAUACGGGUAGGGGUACUACAUUUAUUGGUAUCAGAAGUACGGUUUAGCCGGUUCUAGGACCGAUGUAGCAAAUGCGGGAUUAGCUAUACAUGCCAUUUAAAUUAUUAUUGAUAGUGUGAUAUCUCCUGACCAUUUAAAAUGUGUUUUUCUUAUAGUAAUAUCAUCCGACCGAGCUCAAUCUGAGGAAGCUGGGAGUCAUGCUCCGGCUUCAGUACAAAGCGAAGAAACUAGCAGUAGAAGGCCCGAGACAGAUGGUCGAGGGGAGGAGGCAAAAACAACCUUCUUUCAAAUGAUGAAUGAAUGGUUUAAUCAGUAUUUAACAACUAACCCUGUAGUGCAGCAAGUUCAAGCUCCCCCUCCUGCUCAUUCAUCGGUUCCCGAGAUCCCACAGGGUGCAGGUACUGAAUCUGUCAGAAAAGGAAAAGCUUCAGUAGAUAAAAUUCAAAAAUAUGGGGCCGAAGAAUUUUGAGCAGCAGUUGAUGAUGAUUCUGAACGGGCUGAAUUCUGGUUAGAAAACACUACUCGGGUUCUGGAUGAAUUAUCUUGUACACCAGAAGAAUGUCUGAAAUGUGCCGUCUCACUGCUAAAAGACACAGCUUACCAUUGGUGGAAUACUAAAGCUUCAGUUGUUCCGAAAGAAUAAAUUACAUGGGAAUUCUUUCAGACCGAGUUUAGAAAAAAAUCUAUCAGUCAGAGGUUUCUCGAUCAGAAAAGAAAAGAAUUUCUUGAGUUGAAACAGGGUAACAGAUCAGUAUCUGAAUAUGAAAGAGAAUUUGUUCGAUUGAGUAAAUAUGCUCGAGAAUGGGUACAGUCAAAAGCUGAAAUGUGCAAACGAUUCGAAGAAGGGUUAAAUGAAGGCAUUAAACUACUGAUCGGAAUUCUUGAAAUUCGAGAGUUUGCUACAUUGGCAGAGAGAGCUUAUAAAGCAGAAGAAUUGAGCAAAGAAAAGAAACAGGCUGAGAGGGAAGCUCGAAUUUUUAGUAAAAGACCGAUGGGAAAAUCCCAGUUUUCUGCUUCAAAAAAAUUGAAGAAGUAUCAGGAUCGUUCUACUUCAGCCAUUGGGUAUUCGGGCAGAGAGCAAGGUUCUCAACGCACUAAUUCAAGACCUUCUACUCCAUCAGUGACCAGUGUUGGUAGUGUUGGCACUCCUAAGCCGAGAUGCCAGUACAGUAAUAAAGCUCAUUUUGGUGAAUGUCGAUUAAAGAGCGGGGCUUGUUACCGAUGUGGUUCUUUUGACCAUUUCCUCAGAGAUUGUCCAGAAAGAGGUGAAAAAGAAGCUGAACAGAUAUCGAAGUCGAGUAAUUCAGUUUCGAGAGGUAGACCACCUCGACCAUCCGGUAAUGUCAGUGGUAGUCGAGGAGCUACAAAAGAUACUGUAGGUAGGCCUGAGGCACGAGCACCUGUUAGGACAUAUGCCAUUCGUGCCAGAGAAGAUGCCUCAGCACCCGAUGUUAUUACUGAUACAUUUUCUUUACUUGAUACUGAUAUUACUGCAUUAAUUAAUCCUGGUUCUACGCAUUCAUAAAUAUGUGUUAAACUUGCAAUUGUUAAAAAUUUACCUGUUGAACCUAUUGAAUUUGUGGUUAAAGUCUCGAACCCCCUAGGCCAGUCUGUGUUGGUGGAUAAAAUUUGUAAAAAUUGUCCAUUGAUGGUAAGAGGUUAUUGUUUCCCGGCUGAUUUGAUGUUACUGCCAUUUGAUGAAUUUGACAUGAUAUUGGGCAUGGAUUGGUUAACCCAGCAUGAUGUGGUAGUAAAUUGUAGACAAAAAUAUAUUGUGCUAAAAUGUCAGAAUGGUGAGUUGCUCCGGGUUAAAUCUAAUCAAACAAAGGGGUUAUCUGAUGUGAUUUCAGUAAUGGCAGCACAAAGGUAUGUCAAAAAAAGGUAUGAUGCUUACUUGGCUUAUGUACUCGACACCAAGGUAUCUAAGUCAAAGAUACAAGCAGUUCCAGUAGUAUGUGAAUUUUUCGAUUUGUUUCCAGAGGAAUUACCAGAUUGCCACCAGAAAGAGAAGUGGAAUUUUCUAUAGAUUUGAUUCCGGGAACUACUCCGAUCUCCAUAGUUCCAUAUCGUAUGGCUCCUACAGAAUUAAAGGAGUUAAAGACACAGUUGCAAGAACUUGUUGACAGGGGUUUUGUCCGACCGAGUCAUUCACCUUGGGGUGCUCCGGUUCUGUUUGUGAAAAAGAAAGAUGGGUCUUUGAGAUUGUGUAUCGACUACCGGCAGCUUAAUAAAGUAACCAUAAAGAAUAAGUACCUGUUACCCUGAAUUGAUGAUUUAUUUGAUCAGCUGAAAGGUGCUACUGUGUUUUCAAAGAUUGAUCUUCGAUCAGUUAUUAUCAGUUUCGGGUAAAGGAGUCAGAUGUGCCAAAAACAGCCUUUAGAACCAGGUACGGGCAUUAUGAGUUUCUAGUUAUGCCAUUUGGGCUAACUAAUGCACCUGCAGUAUUCACGGAUUCGAUGAACCGGAUAUUCAGACCGUACUUAGACAGAUUUGUAGUAGUAUUCAUUGAUGAUAUUUUGGUUUAUUCUCGGGAUGAAGAAGAACAUGCAGAACAUUUGAGAAUUGUGUUGCAAAUUCUACGAGAGAAGCAGUUAUAUGCUAAAUUCAGUAAAUGUGAAUUUUGGCUUCGAGAAGUGGGUUUUCUCGGACACAUUGUAUCUGCCGAAGGCAUCAGGGUAGAUUCAAGUAAAAUAUUAGCUAUUGUCAAUUGGAAUCCACCGAAGAAUGCAUCUGAAGUUAGAAGUUUCUUGGGUUUAGCUGGUUAUUAUCGGAGAUUUGUACAGGGAUUCUCUAUGAUAGCUUCUCCAAUGACUCGAUUAUUGCAGAAAGAUGUAAAGUUCGAGUGGACUGAUGAAUGUCAACAAAGUUUCAACCGAUUGAAAAACCUAAUAACGAAAGCACCUGUAUUAGUGCAGCCUGAACCGGGUAAGGAAUUUUUUAUUUACAGUGAUGUCUCAUUAAAUAGUUUAGGUUUUGUUUUGAUGCAAGAAGGUAAAGUAAUAGCCUAUGCUUCAAGAAAACUUAAACCACAUGAAAGAAAUUACCCAGUACAUGAUCUUGAAUUAGCUGUUAUUGUAUUUGCGCUGAAGAUAUGGCAGCAUUACUUGUACGGUGAGAAAUGUCAUAUUUAUACUGAUCAUAAAAGCUUGAAAUAUUUGAUGACAUAGAAAGAUUUAAAUUUGAGACAGCGCAGGUGGUUUGAACUGAUAAAGGACUAUGAUUUGAUUAUUGAUUACCAUCCGAGUAAGGCUAAUGUUGUAGCUGACGCUUUGAGCCAGAAAUCUCUGUUUGCUUUACGAGCUAUGAAUACCCAGUUAUCAUUGACUGAUGAUGGUUCAAUCCUAGUAGAAUUAAGAGCUAAACCGACAUUUUUACAGCAAAUAUGUGAAGCUCAGAAGAAUGAUGAGAAGUUACAAGUUAAACGGGCACAGUGUGUGUCAGGUAAUGAUUCUGAAUUUCAGAUUGGUUCUGAUGGUUGUUUAUUAUUCAAAGGUAGGGUAUGUGUACCUCAGAAUUCAGAGCUCAUACAGAAGAUUCUACGCGAGGCUUACAGCAGUACUAUGUCUGUACAUCCGGGGAGUAAUAAAAUGUAUAAUGAUCUGAAAAAGAUAUACUUGUGGUCGGGAAUGAAACGUGAUAUCUCUGAGUUUGUAUCAAGAUGUUUAAUAUGUCAACAAGUUAAAGCUGAACAUCAGGUACCUUUGGGGUUACUUCAGCCAAUUACUAUACCAGAAUGGAAAUGGGAAAGAAUCAUUAUGGAUUUUGUAUCGGGGCUACCUUUGUCUCCGAGGAAAAAAAGAUGCUAUUUGGGUAAUUUUUGACCGAUUAACAAAGUCAGCUCACUUUAUUCUGGUACGUAUGGAUUAUCCUUUAGAUAAACUAGCUGAACUGUACAUAUCUGAGAUUGUCAGGCUACAUGGAGUGCCUGUCUCCAUUAUAUCACAUAGAGAUCCCCGAUUUACGUCUCGUUUCUGGGACAAAUUGCAAGAAGCCUUGGGUACUCAGUUGUAUUUCAGCACUGCAUUUCAUCCUCAGACAGAUAGUCAAUCUGAGCGUGUAAUUCAAGUAUUGGAAGAUAUGCUCCGAUGUUGUAUACUAGAGUUUGAAGGUAAUUGGGAGAGGUAUCUACCUUUGAUUGAAUUUGCUGACAAUAACAGUUAUCAGUCUAGUAUUAAAAUGGCUCCGUAUGAAGCUUUGUAUGGUAGAAAAUGUAGAACACCGUUAUAUUGGACAGAUCUUAGUGAAAGGAAGAUACAUGGGGUUGGUUUGAUCCGGGAAACAGAAGAAAAAGUAAAGGUUAUUCGGGAUAGUCUAAAAGUAGCUUCCGAUCGUCAAAAAUCAUAUGCCGACCUUAAACGAAAAGAGAUUGAAUUUCAAGUCAGUGACAAGGUAUUUCUGAAAGUGUCUCCUUGGAAGAAAGUCAUUCGAUUCGGUCGAAAGGGUAAACUGAGUCCAAGAUUUAUCAGGCCUUAUGAAAUCAUAGAAAGAAUUGGACCGGUCACUUAUCGAUUGGCAUUACCACCGGAACUUGAUAGAAUCCAUAAUGUUUUUCAUGUAUCUAUGUUACGACGAUAUCGAUCAGAUCCUUCACAUGUUAUUUCUCUGACAGAAGUAGAGAUUCAACCGGAUAUGACUUACAGUGAAGAAUCGGUCAAGAUAUUGGCACGGGAGACAAAAGAGCUUAGAAAUAAAAAGAUAAAUUUGGUGAAAGUAUUAUGGCAAAAGCACGGGAUUGAGGAAGCGACAUGGGAACCAGAGGAGGCAAUGAGGAAACAAUACCCAAAUCUCUUUACGGGUAAGAUUUUCGAGGACGAAAAUCCUAAAAGGGGGGGAGAGUUGUAAUGGCCUAAAUUCAAGGUUAUCGGAACAAUGGUUUCGUAACCACAAAUCCGAUUUAAAGAGAAAUUUAUUUCAAUAUUUUUGCAUGAAAAUUGAUAUGAUAGGAAAAUCGUAUGAAAAUAUUGAUAGAAAAAUUUUACCGAUUUAGUGAUUGAUAGAAAAAGAAAUUAUUGAAGAAAUUGGGUAAAAACAAGGUAUCGAGACCUCUAUCUCGUAAAACCGAGUCAAAAAUAAUUUUAUAAAUAUUUAUGAAAUGUUAUUAAUGUGGUAUUAAAAUUUCGUUAGGAAAUUUUAAUGUUUGGGUAGUCAAUUAAAUGAAAAGGACUAAAUUGUAAUAGGUGUAAAAGUUGCUAGAAUGAUUAAAUAGCUUAAAAGUCUAAUGAGAAAGGAUUUAAAAGGCAAUUAGACCCAAAAGUUAUUUGGGCUGGACGGCAAGGGUAUGAAAUCAACAGAAAAAUUGAUAAAUUAAGGGUAAAAUUGGAAUAUUGCAAAAUUAACUAAAUAAAGCUAGGACUAAAUAGGAAAUAUCUAGAUUUCUCUUCAUUUCUCUUCAAUUACAGCAGCUAAAAACGCCAUAGGAGGGUUCUCUAAGCUGGUAUUUCAUAAUAUUUGCACCAAGUGAGUUAAUCCUUGCCUUUUUCCUGUAAUUUUUGUGUUUCUAAGACUUUUACAACUAGGUCCUACUAUUAAAUUCAUUAGUUUUUGAUUUCAUGGAUGAAAUUGAAAGUCACCAUGGUUGAGUGCUGUAAUUUUAUGAUGAAAUAGAAUGAAAUUAAAGCUUUAAUUUGUUUAUGAGAUGAUUUUAUUAAGUAAUUUCAAUAGAAAUUGAUUUUUAGGACCUAAUUGUGAAAAUGCUUGGAAUUAAAGUCUAUUACUGAAAUUCUGAUUCCUAAAGGUUGUAAACUAGUUUAAGGUGAUAGAAUAAAAUGUUAAUUGAGAAAAAUCAGCUCAAUUGAGAGGCUAAUUGAGUAGGGACGAAAUUAUCAUUUAUUAAAAGCUUAGGGGAAAAAUUGUAAUAAACAGCUUGAACAAAAACAGUUUGGACAACAGGAGUAGACUAACUUUGAAAAAUCACCAUAAAUUGUAGAAAUCGAAUUAGAAGAUGAAAAAAAAUAUGGCAUUAAAGCUUAUUGAGUCUAGUUUCUCAUAGAAGAAAUAGUGUAAGUAAUGGAUUUGUAAAUUUUGAAAUAUAAUGAAUUUUGUGAGACAAAGUCAGAAUGAAUUCGGGUUCCCCUGUUCUAACUUUGAAAAAUAAUAAAAAAUUUACUAAAAACAAUUAUGGGCUUAAAUUUAUAUGUAUAGAAUCCUUAAUGAGUCUAUUUUUAAGAGAAACAAGCAAUAACAUCAUUUGAAUUCUGUAUGAAAAGAUAAUUAAUUUUUAGUGAAGAAGGGUCAGAACUGUCAACAGUAGAACAGGGGUGACUUUAAAGAAUAAACUGUACUUAUUUGCUAAACCAAAAAUUCUGAAAAUUUUAUGGUAAAAAUAUAUAUGAGUCUAGUUUGAGGGAAAAUUAAUGGAUCUUAAUUUGGAGUUCCGUAUCUCAAGUAAUAAAUAAUUUAGUGACUAUGACUCAAGUAGACAGCUUUGAAUGAACUAUAAAUAAUAGUUGAAUUAUAGAGAAUGUUGCAUAUGAACAUGAAAUGUAUUAAAUUGAUAAUUAAAUUUAUUUAUUUAGAUCCGGAAGAUUCAAAUACGAAGCUAGAUCAAGGAAAGGAAAAAGUUCGGGAUUAGUAGAUUUUUAUUGUUUACAAACAAGUAUCAAGGUAAGUUCGUGUAACUUGAAUUAUAUUCUUAAAUGCUUGAGAUUGUAUGUUAUUGAUGUGAAUAUGAUUUGAGUGUUCAUUGUAUGAAAAUUAAUGAAACAUUGAUAUAUUUGAUAAAAUGGGAAGAAAUCCCGGUUGAAUGAAAAGAAAAUUCGAUGGAUCUCUGAAAAGGAAUUGACGGUAAAAAGGAUCUAGCCCGGAUGGGUGAUCCUAUCCUGAUAUAGCCCUCCCGAAGAAUAUGUGUAAAAUGGAUUUAGCCCAGACGGGUAAUCCGAAUUAGGGUCUGAAUUUAGCCUGGACUGGUAAUUCAGAUCCAAGCUCAUUAGAGUAAUUGUCGUUGCAGGGGAUUUAGCCUGGGCUGGUAAUCCCGACAAUACUCUAUGAGUUUAUAUUGCAGGGGAUUUAGCCUGGACUGGUAAUCCCGCUACAAGGUUGAGGUUCGCGGGAGUUUGCUCUCUGAAAUGGAAAUGUGCGCACAUGAAUAUGAAUUGACGAACCCGGAAUUGUACACUAAAAGUGUACCUCUGAAAAUCCAUCGAAAUUUCGAUAAAUUCAACGGGAUAAAUAUGGAAAAUAAUAAGGGAAUGAAAAUAAUGGUAUUGAUGAGUACAUCAAUCAUGGUAUAUAUUAUUGGUACAUGGAAAUUAUUGUACUAACUUGAAUGUUGAGUUUGUGCAUAUUAGGGUAAUAAUGCAUUGAAUGGAUAUAUGGAUGUUUAUUGUAUUGUAUUGAAAAUAUUAGGUAAGUAUAAUUCUUGUUACAUGAGCUUACUAAGCACGAAGUGCUUACCCCGUUUCCUUUUUCCCUGUUUUGUAGUGUUAAGAGCUCGGAGGUCGGAUUUGGUCGGAGACACAUCACACUGUCAACCUCAGGAUUUCGAUAUAUAAAGAAACUUUAUUUUGGAAAUCAAUGGCAUGUAUAAGCUAACAAAGUAAAUGUUAACGUGAAAUGAAUGUAAAGUUAGCCAUUAGUAUGGUUAACAAACCUGGUUUUAGAUAUGUGAUGACGUUAUCUUAUAAAUAUGCAUAAAUUUAUCUUGAAAAUAUGUUGAAUUGAUUUGGUUGAUGUGGAUUGGUCUCGAUUUAAUAUUGCAGGGAAUGUUAGAUAUUUAUAAAGGGGCUAUAUUGAAUAUAAAAAAAAUUAAUUCGUAAACUCCGGUAAUGCCUCGUACCCUAUUCCGGCAAUGAAUACGGGUAGGGGUAUUACAAAAGGUUAUCAAGAUUCCUCAAAAAGAGUUCAUGAGGCUUAGAACCCGCAUGUAUCCCUUUUCAACGAGUAUUCAUCAUUUCUCCGCAUUACGAGACUGACGCUUUCGUCCAUAUCCUUCCAAAAGUAAUUUUUUCAUAUUGCACAAAGGCGACUACUUUGUAUGUUUUAGGAAGGUUGCACAGUCUAUUUGCUAACCUACUGUGUUAGAGGUUUUCAAGCCCAAGAGACAAAAUGGUGUGACAUUUGCCAUUGAGAAACAAUGAUCUAGUGUAAGAUGGUCUCACAAAAGUGGCAGUUGGCUAGAGUUAGGUUCCUCUAGAUCGUAAAGCUGUAACCUAAGUGGAGAUUAUAGUUGUAGGCAUCCUCUUCCACUAUAACUGGCUUAUUCUGUCAUGAGAAGGAUUACCUAAAAGUCUGUAAUUUAGCCAAAUGAGGAUCGAGAUAACCGGAAGUUGGAGUCUCUCAAAUCAAAAACCUAUUUUUCUCAAAUCUGCUUCUUUUCACAAUUGCAAUUUCAAUAUAUUUACUUUCAACUCAUCCACAUUCUUAAAUAUGUUUUUUUAUUAUAUUUUUUCUCAGGUCAGCUAAAUUUAUUGGGCACGAUUGCGUUCAGGAUUUCGAGGAACAAGAAGUUGUAACGAUCUAUUCCUUGAGGAUUUGACAUUACUCAUCUUAUAAUAUUUUUUUAGUUAUUUAGGGAUAAUAUAUAUUUGGUUCUUUCAAUGACACACCACCUACACAUGAUCUUGAGUUGGCUGCAGUUAUAUUUGCUCCGAAAAUCUGAAUGAAUUACAUGUAUGGUGAGCAUUGUAUCAUUUACACCAAUAAAAAAGGUCUUAAAUACUUGUUAACUCAAAGGGAGUUAAACCUUAGGCAACAUAAAUAGUUUGAGGUUUUUAAGGAUUACGACUACAUAAUAAAGUAUCAUUCCAACAAAGUCAAUGUGGUGACUGAUGCUUUUCGUCGGAGAAAGAUGACAGAUCUGAGAGCGAUGUUCACCCGUCUAAUUUUUUUCGAUGAUGGGAGCCUGUUAGCUGAGUUGUAGGUUAAACCGACUAGAUUUGAUCAGAUUCGAGUUAAAUUAUUGAGUGAUGAGUCUUUGGUUCAGCAUUUGUGUUUGAUUGAAUCAAACAAAACUACUGAUUUUGGGUUGAACAGUGACGGGGUUUUGUGUUUCAGGGGUCAGAUUUGUGUGCCUAAUGACAUUGAGUUGAGGCAAUCGAUUAUACAAUAGGCGCAUAGUAGUCAUUAUGCUAUACAUCUUGGUGGGAAUAAAAUGUUUCAAGAUUCCCGUGAAACCUAGUCUAAAAUAGGAGGUGAUUACAUUUGUAUCUCACUGUUUGACGUGUCAAAAGGUUAAGGUCAAGCACCAGUUGCCUUCUGAUUUACUUCAGUCAGUUAAAAUUCCCAUGUGGAAGUAGGAGCAUGUAUCGAUGAACUUCGUUAGUGGUUUGCCCUUGACAUCUAAUAAGAAGGAUUCAGUUUGGGUUAUCAUUGAUCGAUUAACCAAAUCUGCUCAUUUCUUGUCUGUCAAGACUAAUUACUCAUUACAGAAGUUGGCUAAGCUUUAUGUUAAUAAAAUAGUAAAAUUGCAUGGAAUUCCAGUCUCGAUCAUUUCAGAUAGGGAUCUGCGUUUUACUUCUCGAUUCUGGAAGAAGCUUCACAAGGCUUUGGGACUCGAUUAGAUUUCAAUAUGGCGUAUCACCCUCAAACUGAUGGACAGUCUGAGCGAGUUAUUCAAAUUCUGGAAGAUAUGUUGCGAAGUUGUGUAAUCGAUUUCCAAGGUAGUUAGAAGGACUAUCUACCACUGGCUGAGUUUACGUACAACAACAGCUUCCAGUCUAGCAUACAUAUGACACCUUACAAGGCUCUAUAUGGUCGUAAGUGUCGUACCCUACUAUGUUGGACAGAGUUAGGUGAACAUCGAAUUCUAGGUCCCGAGUUAGUAUCUAAGACAGAGAAUACGGUCAGGUUGAUUCAAGAUCAUCUUAAGGAAGCUUCCAAUCGACAGAAAUCAUAUACAGAUUUGAAAAGGCAAGAUAUUGAGUAUUCUAUAGGUGACCGAGUAUUUUUGAAAGUUUCUCCGUGGAAAAUGGUUCUUCAGUUUGGGCGAAAGAGUAAGUUGAGCCUGAUGUUUAUUGGACCUUAUCGUAUCUUGAAACGUAUUGGAACCAUUGCUUAUUAGUUAAAAUUACCUCCUGAAUUAGAUUAAAUUCAUGAUGUGUUCCACAUUUCUAUGUUGAGGCGGUAUUGGUCUAAUCCGUCGCACACUGUUCCUCUUGAGGAAGUUGAGGUGUGACUAGAUUUGACAUUUGAGGAUAAGCCAGUUCAGAUUCUGGAACGAGAUGUUAAAGUUCUUGAGGAAGACAAUCGUCCCUCUAGUUAAGGUUUUGUGGAGAAUUAUGGCACUGAGAAGCCCUUUUGCUUUUCUCCUGUACCAUUCUUUUUCCUUUCUUAUUCUUUUUUCUUUUCCUUUACUUUGGGUUGUUGUUAGAGUUCGGUGUGGUAAUCGGGUGAGUAUACAUUUCUCCGUUGUUGAUUGAAAUGUUAAUUGCAUGAAUUUUUGUUAACUGUAGAACUUCUAUUAAACGAUUAUUCCUUCAUUUCUGUCGAAGUUGGUUUCGACUUGAAUUGUUUGAACUCUAGGUUAAAUGAUCGUUUGACUUUCUUUUUUCUAAGCGUAGAUAUCGGAGGUAGUGAUCGCCCUCGUACUAUUUUGGGUUAAUUUCUUUGUUUUAUCAGUAAGCGUUAGUUUUCGUUGGAAGUUCCAUGUUGAAAUUUUGACACAGUUAGUUAAGUCUUGAUUUGUGUGAAUUUCAUCGUUUUAGUUCUUUAUUGGGUUGUUGGAUGAUCAAUUUAGGUUCUGAGACUUCUCCGUGUUGUUCCUACGUCAAAUAGUUACCAAGUGCGUACCGAAAACCUAAAUUUUUAUGAAUUUUAGAUGCCAAAAAACAUGGUUGUCGAUGCAACACGACCGUGUGGUAGGUCAUGUGCACUACACAACCGUGUGGUAAGCCGUGUAACUCACUAUUCACGAAUUAGAGACACGGGUUGGGGACACAAACGUGUGUUAGGUUGUGUACAUCACACGAGCUAAGGACACGGGCAUAUGUCCAGGCCAUAUGACUCACUGUUUAUGAAUUAGGACUACACGGGCUUGUGUGUCACAUGGGUCGAGACAUAGACAUGUGUCCAGACCUUGUGACUCACUAUUUUGGAAAGUAAGGUCAUACAGGUGAACAUGCAGACGCGUGUCAAGUCGUGUGGAGCCACACGGGCCAGUUAUCCAGGGCGUGUGGACUAAAAAUUGGAAUUUUUUCCUUAGGCCACAAGCAUUGUUUGAAACAAAUGAAGUCCUUUUGUGAUGGUCCGUCUGAAUUGAAUUAAACCAUAUAAAUUGAUAUUUUUUUAUUUGAGAUUGUAUAUUGAAACUCUAUAAUGGUAUUGAUCGUGAAAAUUAUUAAUGAAAUAGAUAUAUACUAUAUGAGCAUAAACUGUAUAUGAAUGAUCAUAUAAGCAUCCUUGUUAACUGUCAUCUGAAAUAUGCAUCUACAUUGAGUGAGAAUUAGGUAAAGGAGGAAGUGAUUUAUUUUAAAUUAGUGGCUAAGUCACCAGUAUCUGUAAUUUGAUCUGGCAGCUAGUCUGCAAUUAUCGAAAAGUGUUAUACUGACACUAUGUGGUGUGUAGGGUUGGAUAAGUAUUAAAUAUUCAAUUUGGUGUGUUGGGUUGGUCAAAGAUGUAGUGGAUGAGAGUAGGAAAAUUGCAUUUGUUCUGAUAUGUUUUGUAUCUGGGAAUGAGUUGACUUCUUAUUUAACUGAUUUGUUCUGAUAUGCUAAAUUAAACAUAUUAUCUUAUGUAUCUGAUUUCAAAUAUGAAUUUGGGACCUUAUCGGUUUAAGUUUAACUCUGUUUGAAUAUAUUAUUAUUUCUUUAUUGAAGUUAUUGAUUCAUUUUGUCUAUUGACUGAAUUACAAAUAAUGCACAAACAUGACCGGGUUGGCGGAUUGGGCGCUUGGUCACACUUUCUAUCAACUAUUAUUAAUAUUAGUUAAUUUUAGUAUUUUCCAGAUAUUUAACUUUCUAAAGGAUAAUUUCUAGAGUAGAUGUUAUGUUUGUUAAAUUCCUUGGUUUGGAAGACUUUGAAAUUAUAUUUUGACAAAUAUUUGAUGUAGCUCUCCAAAUUUGGUCAUGUCGUCUAGGUCAAGUAUGGGGUGUCACAAGGGGUGUAACUAGAGGGGCUGGCAGAGGACCCGACCCCCCUAAAAUGGAAAAAUUUUUAUUUUGGCCCUUCAAAUUUUUUAAAAUUUUAAAUUAAUAAAGGUAAAAUUGCACUUUGACCCCCUAAAAAUGAUAAAAAAAUUUGAUUUAAUCCUUUAAAAAUUAUAAAGAUAUAAACUAUUAAAACGGUGAAAUUGUAUUUUUACUAUUGUAAAAAUUACAAUUUAAUUUCGAUCCCCUUAAAAUAAAAUUAGCUCCGCUCAUGCUUGAUACUUCACACUUCAAUAUCGAAAUAGAAAAAAUUGAAACCUUCAAAAUAACAAUAUAACAUUAUAAUUUUUUAAUAAGUUUUUUAAGUUUUUAUCAUGUUGAUAAUUUAUUAUAACUAUUACAGUUUUUUUUUUAAUUUUUCUAUAGUUUCUAAAAUUUUUAUAAUAUUUUCUAAUUCUUCCAUAUUUUUUAAUAUACUAAUAAUUUAUACUUUAUACUUUUUCUAUAUUUUUAUAAUUUCUAUAUAUAUUACCAUUAAUUUUUGAAAUAUUUUUAGUAUUUUUUUUAUAAAUUUUAAAUUUCUUAAAUUUGUUAUAUGUUUUAAUAAUUUGUAGGCUUAAAUAAAUUAAAAAAAAUCAAUUAAGUCCUGUAUAAUAGUCUCUACGUCAACCCUUAACUGUCUAUAAGAAGAUCUCAUAAAAAAUUACAUUUCAAGAACUUAAAUAAUUGUUAAGUUUUCAUUAAAAGCUCAAAUGAUUGCAUUUUGUGAUAACAACUUAAUUUAAUAAUUUUGCAAAAAUGUUAGAAAUCAGGUUUGUUUACUCAAUACUAAUAAUGUUUGUUUCUUAUACAUUAAGAUCGCAUUGUUAUUGCUAUUAUUAAUUACACGUAAUUGUCUUUAUAUGUGAUUGAAAAAGAAAAAGGCACCUUUAAAAAAGAAAGCUAUAAAGGAUAUGCUUUAUCUCCCCAACUGAGGAGCAAAACAACAUUUAAGAGACUUGUAAUGUAAGCCUAUAGUUUAUACAAUAACCAACAUCACAUUUUAUCAUUAAAAAAUAUAAAUAAUUAUUAUUGACUGUAAUAUAAAACCAAGAGAAAGAAAAAGGAAGAAAUUAAUGUAUUAUAAAACCACCUAAAAACUGCUAAGCGCCAGAGAGAUAUUAGUGUCGUAAUUAAAGGCAAAAGAAGAAAACAAUAAUGUCGUUGAGUUAAUGCUUUCUUUUUUGUUUUGGUAAUGCAGUUCUUUUUCAUUUUUGUCUUUACCAUGAAAGAUGCAAGAGGAGGAAGGGCGAUGAUAGUGAAGUUUUCGAGCAAGUUGUUGAAAUUAAAUUGUGAAGAAAAAAUAAAUAAAUAAAUGAAGAUCAAGCUUCUUCUUGGUAGGACUUUUAAUGCAAGUGGAGUCCCCAGUCCCUGAAGCAAUCCAGAGUUGCCUCUUAUGUAUGAUUCAUAUGCUACACUACUACCAGUACUGCCAUGUGCUUUCUUUUCUUUUGUUUCUCCUCCUUUUAAGCCUUGAUUGAACAUUCAACUACUCUACACUUUGAAACAUGGGGGAAGCUCCAGAAAUACAACUGCAGGUCCCGUGUAAGUCACCUUUUCACUAUAGAUAUACAUGCUUGUUAGCUAUUAUAAAUUAACAUGUAAAGUGUUUGAUUGUUUACCAGCUGAGGAUGAGAAAUUAAAUGAAGAUUCAGUUGAGCAGCAAACAAAUGGAAACCAGUCAACAACAAUCACGCAACAAAGAACCUACAAAUGGUGGCUACUAAUGACAAUCUAUACAUUUUUUCUUCUUUCUGGUCAGUCAGUGGCUACACUUCUGGGAAGAUUGUACUAUGACAAAGGCGGAAACAGCAAGUGGCUAGCAACCAUUGUUCAAGUCGUCGGUUUCCCAAUCCUCAUUCCCUUAUAUUACCUUCCAUCCUACAAAUCUUCACACACUAGCAACAUUACAACCAACCCACCCUCUCUUUUAGUUCAUUCGGGCAUGUAUUUUGGGCUUGGACUACUUUUGGCAGCCGGUUGCUUGUUGUAUUCAGUUGGUCUUUUGUAUCUCCCGGUCUCCACUUAUUCACUCAUUUGUGCUUCCCAAUUAGCCUUCAAUGCCUUGUUUUCCUUCUUCUUUAACUCACAAAAGUUCACCCCUUUCAUAAUAAACUCUUUGGUCCUCCUCACAAUCUCUUCCACCCUCCUCGUAUUCCAAAACGAUUCCUCAGGUUCCACACCAGUUCCCAGAGCCAAAUAUGUGAUCGGAUUUGUAUGCACGGUGGCUGCUUCAGCAGGGUAUGGAUUGAUGUUGUCUCUAACACAACUUUGUUUCCAAAAGAUUCUCAAGAAACAAACAUUUAAGGCAGUGUUGGACAUGAUAAUCUACCAGUCAUCGGCUGCAACUUUGAUGAUCAGUGUGGGUCUUUUCGCCAGUGGGGAGUGGAAGAGUCUGGGCGAAGAAAUGGAAGGGUUUAAACUGGGUAAGUCGGCAUACGUUAACGUUUUGGUUUGGAUUGCUGUAGGGUGGCAAGUUUUCUCGAUUGGUGCGGUGGGUUUGAUCUUCGAAGCGUCAUCGCUUUUCUCGAAUGUUAUCAGCACGUUAGGACUACCCAUUGUUCCAGUGUUUGCGAUGGUGUUUUUCCACGAUCCAAUGACUGGAGUUAAGGUCAUUUCCAUGUUGUUGGCCAUAUGGGGAUUUGUGUCCUAUGUUUACCAGCACUAUCUUGAUGAUCGAAACUCUGAUACUGGAAAACUUUAAAUCAAAAUUUGUCAAAAAUUAGUAUUGGGUAAUCAAUCCUAGAGCAAGAAGUUACAUUUCUUGUAUUUAUGCCUAUACUUUGCUUUCUUCUUUAAAGUUUUUGAGAUUAAUUCAACCCAAAUCUUUUAUUUCACAAUAUAACAUCAAUAGUUAUUAAAAGGUUUAAUAUAAUAUUUAGUACCUCAACUUGACAUUUUUUUAAAUUUGAUAUUUAAACUUUUUUUUAUCCAAUUUGAUACAUAAACUUAUAUUUUUUUUCCUAAUUUGGUACCUAAUCUUUUUGGUAGUCCAAUUUGAUACUUGAACUUAACUCUUUUUUCUUAAUUUGUACCUAAUUUCCUCUUCUUCUUUUUUUUCGAUUUGGUACUAGUCAAACGUUUUACAAAUUACUCCAAUAUACUAACAAAGUUAUUUUUACAUGUAUAAUCGACAUGUGACAGAUAAUAUGAUUUUUUUUUGUAUUUUUUAUGUUCAAUUACUUUUAGUUUUAAUUAUUUUAUUAAUUGAAAAUAAUGAAUUUAUUUUAAUUUGGGGUUUUAAAAAUAUUUUUUUCUUAUUUAGUAUUAAUUCGUUAAGUAUAGCUCAAUACAUAUUUUUCUAAACAUCAAUUUCUUCUAAUACUGACAAUAUUCUUGUAGCAUAACAAAAAAAAUUUAACAUAGUUAGUGUUUUCCGUAAUUUGUAUAAUAUUUAAUAAACUUAGGUACUAAAAGAAAAAAAAGCGGAAGAUAAUAUUUAGGAAGAUGGCAUCAGUAAUCACCGUGUAAAAUUGGGAAUACUUGUUCACGCUAAAAGCAUGUAGGCAAGGUUCUCUAGUUCUUAACGGGUCUGAUUUUGGGUACAAGCAAACAUGAUUUAUUUACAUGCAUUCAUUGGUGGUGCCCACUCAAAACGUUCCACUACCAAAGAGGCGUGGAGUUGUAAUCAAAUGUUUUAGUUUGCAGAUUGUUUUUAGGUAGACAUCACUUCUUUAUUUAUUCACAAUUAUCAAUAAAUUACUAAUAUUCUUUAACAUAUUCCAAAAUGUCCAAACUUAAAAAUCUCCAAUUCCUUAUUUAUUUAUAAUUUAUAUUAACAUAAUUGAAAACCCUGUUUUUUUUUAUAUAAAAUCUGUAAAAAAAAAUUUAAACUUAAAAUAAAUUCAUAAAUUAUAAAACUUAAACCUAAAAUAUCAAUAUACUAAAAUUCAACUUUAUUAUUUCAACUAAAACUUAAAUUUUUAUUUUUUCAUAUUUUUUUCACUAACAUCAAACAUUAUACAACAAUUUUGCCCCUAAUCUAUCAUUGUCUUUUUCUAUAACCGUAUAGUGUGUUUCACAAGAUGCUCAAAGAGUAGAUAUAUUUGAUGCAAAGGGUAAAGUGGUAUAGGAGGUUUAUUUGUAAUUUUUUUUUAUCUAUUAAAAGGAUAACUACUUUAGAGAAACGAGAAAAACAAUCCACUUAUUAAAAUUUUGUUGUUUUUUUACUUUUUAUAUAUAAUGUAUAAUAGUUAUAAACUUUUUUUUUUCAAUUUCACCUUCACUCUUGAAUCAACUUGAGCCUUGUCCCUUCAUAACUAAGAUGGCACAAUAAUUUAAUAAUUGUAAAAAAUUUCUAUAUCUUUCAUAUGUUUACUUUAAAUUUAUUAAAUUAUAUUUCCAAGAAGCUUAUUAUUUGAAAUUUCUUGUGGUAUGUGCUUGUUUGACAUUUGAAUUAAUCCUAAGGCAAAUAAGAUUGAGAAACAAGUGAAGUUGUAGGAUUUUGAAUCCAUCUUUUAUGUUUUAUUUAAUCUUCUAUAAUAACUUUUCGUUUAUAAAAGUGAUAGUCAUAGUGGUGAAUUACAUUUUUUAUUAAAUUAGUUCUCUAUAACAACAUAUUGUCUAAAAUUUUAAGUAAAUUUAUUAAUUAUAAUUUAUUGCUGGGAAUCGACCUAUAUAAACAACAAGAUAGUAAGAGUGGAGAGGAAUGAACACAAAUAUUUUACAUAGAAAACCUUCAAAGAAGGAAAACCACGGGCAAAUGAGGUAUCAACUUUUCACUAAAUGAGUAAAUAAACGAAAAUACAAUAUGGAGAAAAUAAACCUAAAAGUACUAAGUGCACAUAUCCAAACCCCAAAAUAAAGUCAUAACUCAGGAAUAAAAUUCUCUCCAUAGUUACCACGAAACUCUCUCCAAAACUCAUAUGCUACUACAUCUUGUCUCCUUCAAAUAAAAAUCAUUGCUAAUUGGCAUGUACAAAACAGGGAUAUAAUGACCCCUUUAAAUAGGCUAAGAUCAGAGUUCUAAUCAUACUAAAAUAUCCCUAAAAUAAUCAUAGUUUGAUUGGGAGAAGUAGUCCUACUUGGAGUGAAAAAUGCGGCUACAUACGAGGAGAACACAUCGUGUAAUCAUGACAUCUCAUGCAUGCUCGUCAUGAUGUCGCCGCUACCUUAAGUUGGGAGUUUGUCGCGUCGUCCUGACUCAGUUUUGUUUUGGCCCUUCUUUGAAUCCUCAUCGGUUCUUGUCUAAGAUGCCUGCAACGUGUCCAAUAAAUGCGAGGCACACCCCAAAUUUAUUAAAUAAAAAUUAUCUUAAUUAAAAUAUUAUUUCAAUAAAAUGUUUAAAUUUCACAUGAAAAAAUCUGUUAAUUUAUUAAUAAAAUAAUCUUCAAUGAGUAGAAUUAAAGAUACAAAUUCAAUAAACUAUUAAGUUCCCUUAUUAAAUAUUCUACUAUGAAUUUGGAACAUCAUAAACUUAUAAAUUGAUUACUUGAAUUUAAUAACUCGUGAUAAAUUAAUUAAUUUAAUUUUGAUAACUCAUUGGUUAACUGAACAUGGUAAAUUUGUGAAGUUCAUAAUUAGUCAUGUGAAAUAAUAUAGAAGAGAAUAUACAUAAAAGCAAUAAUACAUGGCCCUACUAUACCUCUUUUAAUUUUGUUAAUUUGAUUCUCACAUUCUUUUUUAUUAUGAUGAUUAUUAUUAUACAUAAUUCUCACUUUCUUUAUUUUAUGAAAUCACAAUAUGAAUUUUAUAGUAGGUUUACAACAAUUAACAACAUGCUAUUAUAGGUGUAUACUAGCCACUUUUCUAUAAAGAUUGAAAUCUUAACAGGGAAAUAAAACUGUUAUAGAGAGCAUUGAGUGUAAUAAUAAUACCUACCGACAAAGAGAUACAUGAAGAUUUUUCAAAGAUAACAUGUCUUACUGGAAAUGGUAUUUUUUACAACUAUUGAAAGGUUGAUAAAUAGUAAACCAUAACAACUUUAUUUGUGGAAAUCUUUAUCCGAUGACAACAACAUUGAUUGUGUUUUAUUUUAUAUGAAAUUAGUUGGCUAGUUGUAUGGAUUAUUUCAUUAUCAAGGAAUUGAAGUCACUAACUCAAUGACAAGUUAUAUGGAUUUAGUUUCUUGUUACUUUGUGAUCACGUUCUGAUGAUUUUGAGUUAAUUGUGUCGAAUUAAAUGUUAUUUUAUUUUUUAAAAACUAUAAUUUCAUAAUUAUUAUUACAUUUUAAAAAUUUCGAAGUGAUUUAGAUAAAAAUCUUAAUUUAAUAAUGAAUUUUAGAGUUUGGACUUGACAUGUAAUGUUAUUGUUAUAGUAUUUUUACUUACAAUUUAUCCACAAUUUACUUCUUAAAAAUGUUUUCAAAUCUUAAAACUAAUUAAAAUCUAAAAAAUCUUGAAUUUAACAUAUUUUAAUACUCAAACAAAAAAUUUGGAAAUCAUGAAUUUUUAAAAUUAAAAUUUUGGAAUCCAAAUCCAAAUAUAAGUUUCCAAAUGCUACCUAUAGUAUAACAUGUUUUUAACAAAUAUAGGAAAAAUAUUAACUCAACUAAAAAGAGACAGUGACAGAUUGAAUAUUUGUAUUCUCAAUAACAUUUUUUGUUGUUUAAAAUUUUUUCCUAAACUCAUUAUUUUGAAAAUUAUUAUCAAUGAAACAAACACAACAUAAAUUUAAGUGUAAAUCAACAAACAACAUUAAUUCUCAAAGCUAUUUUUUUAUAAUUAAUCUAAAAAAUAAUUUUUAAUACUAGUACUUGAAUUUAAAUAACAUAGAAUAUGUCAAGAAAAUAAGAGAAUCUUAUACAUGUUUAUGCUUUUUUUAUAUAUAAAAAAAAGUUGAAGCAUUUUAUUGCGUACGAAAGUAAAGAAUUGAACUAUAGACUGCUAUAAUAAGAAAAGCUCAUAGCACACUUUAGUUUUUUGAAUAAAGCUUUUAUUACAAUUCGAGAAUGGAUAACAUAUUUAAUAACAUUCUAGUGAAUAAAGAUGGGUAAUCUUUUAACCCGUGAGUAUCAUGAGGUGUCAAUAAAUCAUGUGUAGUAAGACUAUCGGCUACUAAAGUUAGUAUCUCUAUGUACAUACUGGAAGUUGCAUCCUUCAAUGACUUUUUACUUCCUUCUCCCUUCAUUUGUUGCCAUAGCACACUCUUUAAAACAAAACCAUUUCAAACUUUGAAACAAUUUCAAAAACUUGUAAACUAUGUACUAAACACAACAACCACUUGUAGACGUAUGAAAACAUAACUAACAAUAUAUUGGUUCUAUCUAUACCAGCCUUAGCUAAUUUAUCAAACUCCACGUUGUCUUUCCUUAGAGCAUUUUGCACCUUACACUAGAAUUGUGGUCGAUUUAUUGCUUUUUGUUAUAAUUUAAGUGGCAUCUCAUGAAAAUGUGAUUGUCCUAAUUUAUCUUGGUAAACAUACAAAAUUGGUCACUCACUUUCAUGAAAUCAUUAGCAAAAAUAAAUACUUUAGCAUCCAAAGAAUUUACUUUAAUUAAUCUAAAGUCUUUAAUCACCAUAUCUAUGAAAGCUUUUGAAUUACUCUCUCUUAUACAAUUCACAUCAUCUAGAUGCUCAUAUUUGUUUGAUAUGAUAUUGUUGUUAAAUAAAAUGCUACUAGAUUUGAGCCCAUAGUCUUUUUCAUCUUGUAUAUCCCAUUAGCAAUAGCAUCAUAUAGUAAUCAUUAUAUUUAUUUAAUGCCAUGACAUUUAAACUAGAUCAAGCUCCAUGAAAAUCUCCAAGUACUAAUAGCCGGAUGAAAUAGCUACAACAUGAUUACAUAUGGCAAGAAAAAUGUUGAUCUUAGUAUUAAUAAUAUUCUAACAAAACAAUGAAUAAACACCAAUCAUAAUAGUUGGAGCAAGUAGAUGUAGAAUGACAAAACAUUUUUUUGUUGAAAGCAUUGAGAAGCUGUAUUACAAGUGUAUAUAGGAUUACAUAAGAUUAACAUGAUGCAUAACACUCCAUUUUUAUUUAAAAUUUUUGAUGAAAAGGUGUUCAUUCUUGAAUUGAGACAAGAAGUGCAUGAUAACACUAAAACAACAAAAAGAAAAAUAGAUAACAAAGUCUUACAAAGAACUAACACUUUUGUAGCUUUUUGGCUCCGCCAAAGCUAAAAACCAAACACCACAAGAACAUUAUUAGGCUCAAGAUACAUCGAGAUAGGGGUGAUUUGGUGUUUAAAAGUUUGGAAGAAUUGCUCAAAUAAAAUUUACACAAAAGAUUAGAAUGGUUUGACAUUAAUUGCCUACAUUUAUUACUUUAGUUGUAACACCAUUUACCUGACCCGAAUUACCGAAUCUAGAUAUUGGAUGCUUCUAGACUUAAACACUUAAUAAUUUUUUUUAAAUGGCGUAACUUUAUUACAACAAACUUCUUAUUUAUUUCUUCACAACUAUUAAGAAGAAGUACUCUUUAAAUACAACAAAACUAAAUUAUGGUAUACAAGUCAUUAAAAACUUAAAACCUUGUUAAAGACAGACCCAAAUAUUGCGUAGAAUACAAUUUGCCAUAUCCCUAUAAUGCUCUCUGUAUGCAUAAUAUCUUAAAAUGAACUACCACUUUGGCGCAUUCCUUGCUCAAUCGCUACUAGCAUAUCAACUUUACUUUAAAACCUGCAUAACAACCAGACACUCAUAAAUUCAAAUGAACUUAGUGAAUUUUAACCAAGAUUACCUUUGAACAUUUGUUGCAGAAUUCCUCAACUCGAAGAUUUUGAAUUUCUCUUUAGUCUUUGGUGGACACUUUCCUAAACACCAGACGCAUACCUACAUGCCGAACUCUACACUUAACCCUAUAUACACAUUUCACUUAUUAGGCAGAUUGCAGAAUUUACCUCUCAACGCGGGUCUUAUUUCUCACACUCUAGAAAGGUAGAAGCUAGAUACAUUCCUCGUAGUGAUAUUCAUGCAGAAGUUACUUUCAGCAUAUUGUUACUCAGACAGAUGUUUAAUGUUUUGCCUAGAAUACUAUGUAAACAAUUAUUUUUCUUGGCAAAUUCUUAUACAGACAAACGUUGGAUAUUCAAAUCAGAAUGGUUUGCAAAUAGAUCCUAUCUCUGGUGAACUCAUACACUAAUUCCAGAGCUGUCAGAAUAUUGAUCAGGUCAUAACUUUAAAUCAACCCGAAGAACAACCAAUUCUAAUGGAUACAAUAUUUUUAGACAUUCAAUAAAAUCCUAGAACACUAUAUUACAUAGCGAGAGAUACCCAUAUUUAGCGGAUACUAUAGAAACAAAGUAACCUCUAUACUUAUUAUGAAAAUACUCUGGCUUGACGGACGCUUAUACUACCCAUAACUUCGAGCACAUCGAAUUAUCUAUUCUAGCGGAACUAUAGCAGAUUUAUAUAUCGAGUAUAUGUAGAGAAAACUCCUUCAGAUAUUUCUUCAAACAUAAUUUAAGACAUUGCCACAAAACAGAUACUCACCACUUAGAUGAUACAAAACUUACCACACAGACAUUGCAGAAUACACCACAAAGGCAUUGUAAAAUAUGCCACAAAGACAUUGAAGAAUACACCACAAAUACAUUACAGAAUAUGUCACAAAGGCAUUACAAAAUAUGCCACAAAGGCAUUAUAGAAUACGUCACAAAGGCAUUACAAAAUAUGCCACAAAGGCAUCGCAAGUAACUUGCCUAAAAUGCUUUGUUUGGUUGCCACUAAGGCACCACAUGAAUUGAUGUGUUUGUGGUAUUGAUUUGCUUAAACUCAUUAUCGCGUGAUGUUUGCGCUUCAUUUCCCCGGGACACGCAAAAACCUAAACAGAUAAAUGUGGACCAUUCAUCCUUUCCAGAAUAUGCCAUUGUUUAAGAAGAAGAACUAGAGUGUAGAACGAAAGGAAAAAAAGAAAAACAUCUGAAUGUUAAUUUCUUACCAUAUAUAUAUACACUUAGUUCCUCUUAGUGGAUCUUGACAAAUGUUAUAUGCAUACAAAAAUUGUCUCUUUAAUGCCCUAUCAAAACCGAAAAAAACAUAAAAGAGAAUCCGGUGCAGAUAUUGUUUGACCAGCCCAAUCCAUUCAGUUGACUCCCACCCAAUCAAGUUACAAAACCCACAUGGCACAUUGUUCGAGCAAAUCAGGUGUACCAUACCUUUGGCGAAAACUCUCAUCAGGCGUGCUCUUAAAGACGAUCUAAUUUCUUAAAACUCUCACAUACACUUGACAUGCACGUCAUGCUCAGUCAAAAUUCUUCUGGGCCAUACUCUUUGGUUAUUUUACUCUUCUUCAAUUGGAAAACACCUCAAGAUGAAAUCCUUAGAUUCUAAAUGGGCAGGUACAUUAUGCGCCAGGACUUAACUUGCCAAAAUUUUGAAAAGUGAUGGGUUAUAUUACAAUAGUGCGCCAAUACAGGUAACUUACAUAUCUAUUCGUCUUUUCCUUGUAUCAAAAAGAGCAGAUAUGAUAAUAACCUAGAAUGAAAUUAAUGUUAAAAAAAAACAUUUUAAUUUUACACUAGCGUGUAAAACUGCACCAUUAGUGUACCAAAUAAUUAUAGUUAUAUAUCUUUACUAACUUAAAAUGUCUUACUGUAUUAAGUUAUUACAACGAGUUAACUAAAGAUUGACUAAGUUGAUGAAUGACUUAAAAACCUUUUUUUAAAAUUGUAAUAAAUGUUAUUGUAAUGCCAUUUUAUAAAAUAUUUUUAUAUAAAUCUUUAAAUAAAACAACUAAAAAUUAAUACUUAAAACUAACCAUAUAUCCAAGCCUCAAACCAAAAAUUAAUGAAAUGUUAUAUAUAGGUCGUUUACACUUCACCUAUUUUUUUGAUAAAUAAAUCUUUUAUAAGCAUAUAUUUUCAGAUAAAGCUUUUUUUUCACCCAUACUUUGGCUUGUCAUAAUUUAAUAGAUUAUUAUUAAAAUUUCUAAUUAAAUUGGUAUUAUAAGUUAAUUAGACAAAAAAUAUUAAAAAAAAAACAAUAACAACAUUUAAUAGAGUUAUAUGGGUAGUGCAAAUCUUAAAAAAAAAUCUCCUUAAUAUUAUUUUUAUUUUUUAUCAAUAUUUAUUAAUUUUUUAAAAGUUUUCAUAUCUUAAAUAAUCUCUUUUCUAUAUUACUUAAAUGAUUAUUUAUUCGUAAAAAAAUGAUUAUUUAUGGUACAUACACAUCUAUAAUGUAUAUUAAAGCAAAAAUAUAUGAAUUAUUGUUGUGUGUGUGUGUUUUUUUUUCUAUAAAAGCGGUCCUCAAAUGUUUACGCAUUACAAUUUUUUUGUUUGUUUGCUUUGGGUGGGGGGAAAGGGAAGGAAAAAGGAAUGGAAAAAAAGAAGAAAAAAAAAAGGAAAGAUAAAAGAAAAGAAAAGGAAGAGAAAGAAAGAAAUAUAUCAUCAUUUUUUUCCUUAUUUAAAGUAUGAUGUAAUUAUUAUAAUUAUAAUUUUAAUUAAAAAUAAUAAUAUUACCAACAUGUUCACCACCAACAUAUUUUGGGAUUCAUACCCUAUUGCCUUGUAAAAACCUUUUUAAAUAAUAUAUUUUAAAAAAUUGUCCUAAAUCAAUUUAAUAAUAUCAUAAAUGUACAAUUUAAUAAUUAAAAACAAUAAUAUAAUAAAAUUAAUAUCUAUAUUUUUAAAAAAAAGAAAAAAAGUAAAUAUUAUUUAAUAAAACCUAAUUUAAAAUUAAGUGUUAUGUAAUUAGUAGGCUAUUAAAUAUAUUGUAGGUUUAAAUACUCCUUAGGACCUUGCCAAUUUUAAAAUUAGAUAAAUUGGUUCUUGGAAGAAAAAGGAAUAAUUUGCUCCAUAACUAUUUCCAUACAUGGCAUGAGCCAAAUUAUAAUUGGUUAAUUUUUAAAUAAUUUAAUAGAACUAAAAAUAUCAUAUAAUAUUAAAAAUAUUUAAAAAUUAUAAAAUUUGAAAUAAUCCUAAAUAAUCAAUAAAAUUUUCAAAAUUUCGAAAAGAAGAUUUAAAAUUUAUAAAAAUUCAAAAUACUAAAAAAGUAAAUAUUAUUAAAAAAUGAAAAAAAAUCUCAAACUGUCUAAAAGAAAUACAAAAUAAUCUUCUAACAUCCAAAAAUAAAGUUUAUAAUUUAUUUUUCCAAAAAAUCAUUGAAAAUUUAAAAUAUAAUAAAUUAUAAAAAUUUCAAAAAUUUUAUAAUUUCAAUUUUAAAAAAUACAAAAUAAAAAAUUGACAAUUUUUUUCGUUACUGAUAUUAUAUAAUAAAUAUAUUUUAAUGUUUUAAGAAAUAAAUUUUAAAAAUACAAACAAAUUGUCUAAAAUCCAAAUAUAUAUCCAAAAUAAAAGGAAAAAAAGAGUUUCAAUAAAAAUAUUAAAAAUUGGAAAAUUAAUGAAUAAAAUAAUAUUUCUAAAUUUUUGAAAAAAAAUCCAAAAAAUUAAUUAAAUUUUUUGGAAAGUCUAUUUGUUUUAUGAAUUUUUUUAUAUUUUUAAAAAUUUUUUUUUGGGGGGUUUAAACUUCUUUUGCAUUUUCUUGACAAAGUUUUUAUUAAAAGUAUUAAAAUUAAAAGUGAUACUAUGUCGUUUACCAAAAAAUGUCAAAUAUAUAUAUAUUACUCAUUUUUUCGUACUUUAUCAAAAUGUUGGAAAAUUUUCAAAGUUUUUUGAAAUUUUUGUAAAAUUUUGUAAACUUUUUAUAUAAUAUAUAUUUAAUUUUUUUAAUUUUUAGUAAAUUAUUGGAAAUUGUUUGAAUUUAAGUUUUUUUUUAAUUUAGGAAGCUUUUUUAUUUUGAAAGCAACUAAUUUAUGUAAAUUAUUUUGGAACUUUUUAUUUUUUUGUAAAUAAUUUUGAGAGCAACUAAUUUAUUUAAUUUUAAAAUUGACAGAAAGUGUAUAUUUGUGGCAGGGAGUUAACUCUGUACAAAAAUAACAUCAUCAUUAAUUAGAGCAUUUAUUUUUGAAAGCUUCACUUAACAACAACAUUUAAGUAAGUGGAACCCACAAUUAUAUUGCUUUUAUAUUGAUAUUUAGAGCGUUUAAAUGGUUAACUGAAUCAAAUUAAUAUUGAUUACAUUAAAUUAAUUUUUUGUAUUCUUUAAACAUUAAUCGAAUCUAAUUUUUUUAAAAAAAAAUUAACCGAACUAAAAUUUAUAUAUUUUUUUGUUAAAACAAGUACAAAACAUAUAAAAAAAAUUGAUAAUAUUUAUUUGACCGAAUUAUUUGAAUAACCGAAUUAGUAAUAGCCUAAUACAUAUAAUAUAUAAUAUUAUUUAUUAAGUUCAGUUAAUUCAGUUAAUUACCAGAUUUCAAACCGAAUUAACUUUUAACCGACCUCUGAUCGAACUAGAUCAGUUAACUAACCGAUUAAUCGAAUUAGAUCGAUUCAAUCGGUUAAUUUGGUUUUAACCGAAGUUUGAACACCCUUAAUUAUUACUGAUACAUGCACGAAUUGGGUGAAAUUUAUUAAAUUUCAUUCACCAAAGCUGCCAAUUUUCAAGUUGGGAAAUCAGCAGACUUGCAAUAACUUUUUGGAUGGAAUCUGACAUUUCUAGUUUGAGAUGUCUUCAUGGAGUUUGAAGGUCUAUCUCUUAGCUUCGAAAAACACUUUAAAUCACUUGAUUUUGAGUUCGAGAGCUCAAGUUAUGACUAUUUUAGUAAAGACUGCGUGGGCAGAAUUUCUAAAAGAGAUUAUGACGGGAAUUACGAGCUUUGGGCUUUUAAUUCAAGUUUAAAUCAUAUUAGGUUCGAAUUUUGGACUUAAUUUUUGUUGUAUAUGAGCCCAAUAUUGUAUUCAUUUGUCUCAUUCCUUAUCAUUUGGUAUCAAAUUUGGGCGUUUCAGGUGUUCUCUUUGUUCUUAUAAGCUGAUUUCUAACAAACAGCCUCAAAAUAAUUUUUUUUGCCCAGACAAUUUUCAAAAAGAAAGAUUUUUCAAAGGGUAAACGUUUUUUAAAUGAUCUGAAAUUUUACAUGCUAUUUCAUAGCAAAAUUUUCAAAUAUAAAAAUUUUUCGCUCUAUGAAGGAGUGGGCGAAUAAACAUCCGGCACAGCUAGUGCACAGGAGGUGACACCUACCACACUCCUGGCUAGGCGCACUCUCGUCGAUCCAAGGGAUGGAAGGGCAGAGACCUUUGGGAGAGGAGCAAAAGUGAGUUGAUUUUUGCUCGCCGCCUAAACCGUGAAAAAAAGGGUUGUGGGAGAGCAUUCUCUUUAUUGAUUCUCAAAAAGAAAAAAAAAUUCGUGUUGAAAAUUUUCAGAUUAAUGAGGAAGCUUCAGUUUAAAUUUUGUAACUUUUGAAAAUCGGGAACACCUCAAACGAAGUUUGUCAAGUUGCUUUACAAUUUUUUAGAUUUUUGGGUUUCAAGGAUUUUCAUUGACUCUUAGCUUUAGGUUUUCAUUUGUUUUUCCUUUUUAUUGUUCCUAUACACAUUCUAACACUUUAUUGUUUCUUGUGUUAGUAGGUUAAAGCAUGUUACACAUUCCUUCCUCCUUGCAACAUAAUUCUUUUAUGUCUAGCCGAUUUUUGGACUCAUAGUGCUGUUAGGUUUACUUUAUUAGUUUGAUUCUAAUACAUUCUGGUUUAUUGAUAUGGACACUUUUAAAAGACUCACAAGAUUAAUUCUUACCUCAUUAAUAAUUUUAUUUUAUUUCUGAGUGCAUAAGGUGAUGUUUGCGUAAAAUUUCUUUUAAGUGUUGUGUUUUUCCAGGCUUUCACAAUGACUCAUGACACUCGUAAUCGUAAAAAUCAUGAUGAGACAUCAUCAAAUGACAAAGAACAAGAUGUUAAAUUUGAGAAUUUUGUGGGGAUGAUAAAUUAUCAACAUCAACAAUUGAACGAGUUACGUGAUACAAUUGAGACCAAUUUGACUAAGUUUCGAACGAAACAAAAAGUGAACAUUAAUCAGCUUGCCAAUCAACAUGCCAAUAAUAUUCAAAUGCUAACUCAAGUUGUUGCUUGUUUGAAGACUUUUUCGAACUGACGAUCUUGUGCUCGUGAUGGUGAUGAUGACGAUGGAGACAAUUAAUAGCUUCAUAUUCAUUCUAAUAAUGGUGGACGAGGAUAUCAUCCCACUAAUGAAACUUUGGGUAUUCCUGAUCGAGGCCAGCUUUUUGUAGCAAAACCAAAGUUCAACAUUCCACCAUUCUGAGGGAAGCAUGAUCCUGAAGCAUAUUGUGAGUGGGAAUAAAAAAUUAAACUUAUGUUUUGUUACUAUAAAUGCCCAGCAAAGGAAAAAGUCUCAUUGGCAACACUUGGAUUUCCAGAUUAUGUGUUGAGUUGGUGGAUUCAACUUGGAAUUAAUCGUCAAAGAAACUAUGAAAGGGUAAUUGAAACAUGGUACGAAUUGAAGCAAGUGAUGUGAAAGCGUUACGCUCUUUCUCAUUACUACAAAUAGGUUACAAUGAAAUGUCGACACCAUGUUCAAGUUAACUGAUCAGUUGAUGAGUACUUUAAGAAGAUAUGGCCAAAUGAAAAGAGGAGUACAACUGAUCUCUCAUCUAUUAUGAGACGUUAUUGGUGUAGUUCAAAAGAUCAUGAGGGUUUCUAAUGUCCAAAUAAAUAUCCAACUAGAGAAGAAAGUAAGUAUGAUUAUCUUCUAUUGUCUCUUACUCUAGUGGAAAAGUGAUUUGUGAUGACGAACUUUGUGAACCGAAAAAAGAUGAUAAUGAGAAUUGUUUUCCUUGAAUCUAUAGAGUUAAAUGAUAGACAAAUGUCGUGUUCUCUUACUGAGAUAUAUUGUAUUGAAUUUAAUAUUCAUAAUACAUGUGAGGGGAAUAUGGGAAGUGAGGAAGAAUCAUGUGAAAAGAUAGAGAGAAAAAAGAUCUUGAAUGAUAAAAGUCUAUUUGAUGGUCCAAAUUUGGUGAGAGAAAAUCCAUAUGAGGUAAAAUUGGAAAGUUCUCAAGAGGAAAAAGAAAAUAAAAGCAAGAAAAUAGCCAUACAAAGGUGAGGGGUAAUUAUGUUUUAACUAACCUUAACUCAACUUUUUUUAGCGGUGUUUCUUCAUUACAGGACUUCAAAGAUCCAUUGAUGGACUUUGAAUUAUAUUACUCUACCAUUACUUGUGGGAAAAAUGUAAGUUGAAUAUUGAUAAUUCCCCACAAGUGUUAGAAGGUAACGAAGGUAAGGAAACAAUAGGAAUUAAUUUAAGAAGGCAUACCUUAAAUGUUUUUGAUAAGUAUGCUACUAAUUUUGUUUGUAAAAUAUUUCCUUACAACAUGUUUUUUCAUUGGUCAAAUUUCAUUAAACCUUGGUAUGAAAGUUCAACUGAUUUUAUGGAUUUAUCUAAAUUUGUAAAGGUUAAAAAGAGUAAUUUUGUUGCAUUAAAUAGGUUUUUUAAAGCAUUUUAUAGAUUUUUUCUUGCAACAAAAUUUUCUAUUUUGACCUUUAAUGAUGAAUUUUUACAAAAUAAUAUUAAAAUUCUUGAUUUUUAUAAUUAUGUGAAAUUCUUGACCAAUCGUUGGAAAUUCUUAUGGAUGACCAUGCAUAUUCAAAAAAAGUUGCAUGCUAUUUUUUUCCUUGAAGGCUCAUGUACCUAACACUUCCUUGUUUAGUGUUGAAACAUUGUUUUUAGAGGAGACAUACAUGAUCGAAGUUUAUUUGAAAGAUCAAAAUAGUGUCUUUAAUCUUGAAGAUAGUCUUGGCGCACACGAAAGCUUAGGUAAGUGUUUUUUUAAUUUUAUUGUUAUUUAUUCUAAUCUUUUUUCUUGUUGUGCAACUAAAAAUUCUAGGACGAAUCUUCACGAGGAAGGGGGGAAUGAUGCAAGUCUCAAGGCCCAAUUUUAGAUCCAUGGAUGUGAUAGGCUCACACUACCUCAAGGGCCAACAGCAAUGUUAAAGGCUAAGCAAAUCAAAUCAGGAUUCGGUCAAAGACAAGAUUCAAGGACAAAUCUUUUCGAGGAAAGGGGGAAUGAUACAUGCAUGGAUGGGGUAGAAUUUAUUAAAUUCCAUUCACCGAAGCUGCCAAUUUUCAAGCUUGGGAAAUCAGCAGACUUGCGAUGGAUUUUUUAAUAGGAUCCUGACAUUUCUAGGUUGAGAUGCCUUCAUGGCGUUCAAAGAUCUAUCUCGUAGCUUCAAAACGCACUUUGAAUCACUCUAUUUUGAGUUUGGAAACUCAAGUUAUGACAAGAAUUACGAGCAGAAUUUCUGAACGGGUAGAAUUUCUAAACGGGAUUAUGACGAGAAUUACGAGUCUCGAUCUUUUAAUUCGAGUUUAAAUCAUUUUGAGUUCGAGUUUUCGGCUUAAUUUUUAUUAUAUAUGAGCUUAAUAUUGUAUUUAACAACUCUUAUUAUUUUAUUAUUCCAAAUUUUUAAUAAUUAUUAAGUAGUUUAAGUUAUUUAGGAAUUUUAUAUCAACAAGAAAGUUUGAGAAAAUUUAGUUUAAAACUACUUCUUGUUUAGAUUAAUUAGAAUUCUAGAAUACUUAAUAUUUUUAUUUAGAUUUAUUUAGGUAGCCUACAUAUAGGCCUUUACAUUGUACACAAUUCAUUAUUAUUCAACUUCUCUUUUGAGUUAAUAAAUUCUCUUUAAAUUUUUUUUUAAGAAUUUCUCUUGAAUUUCUUUUAAAAUAGUUUUAACAAUCUUUUCAGAUUGUAGGGAUCAUCUUCAAACUUUUUCUUGCUAAGUUUUCUAUCUUAGAGGGGACAUUAGAGUCGCCAGAAAUAUGUUGUAGAUUCUUCUUAUUUCUAAGACUUCUUAGAAUUUCUACAUAUCACGUUCUAUCUUUUCCAUCUAUCUUCUUUAUUUUCUUCUUUAUUAUUCCAAUAUUUGAUUUAUUGUUUUAUUUAUUUAUCUUAGUUAUCUUUUUAUUUGUUUCAUUUGACCUGGAUUUGAUUGUGUUUUAAGUUGUGUCAAAAUUUAAAUUUUUUUCUAAUCGUCUAGAGCCCUAAGUCAAAUCUGCGACUUAAACAAACUUUACGAUUCUCUUCCGCAUUUAUCUGCCCUCAUUCGUAUCAGUUACAGUAUUCUUUUAUUUCACAUAAUUAUAUAGAUUUAUUCAAUUUUUCCCUACCAUUAACAUUGUUAUUUGUUACCUAUCAUCUAAUUUUAGAUUUUGUUGUUCAUACAUAUAAUUCCAUAUACGUAAUUUUAAUCUUUCAUUUAAUUUUUCAUCUCUUCUAAUUUUUAAAUUUGUAUUAUUUAUCAAAUCACCCUAAAAUGGAUAGAAAAAUUAACAUCUAUUAACUUUAUUGAUGUGGCAUACACUUAAAUUGUUACAUUAGCAAUUAAUUAUUUUUAAAUAUAAAAAUUCAAAAAUUAUAAAAAUAAUUUUUAAUUUUUUAAUUUGUUAAAAAUAAUUAACUGCUAACGUGGAAUACAUGUAACACCCCUAACCCGUAUCUAUUAUCGGAAUAGGGUUACGGAGCAUUACCAGACAUAUUUCAUAAACAAUCAUACAUUUCACAUCCAUUUUCCAUUCCCAAAUAAAAGUCAUUCACAAUCAAUCAUACAGCCCAAAAUAAAACACGAAAAAGUAAACAGAGUAAGCUAUAAAGCUUAGUAAGCUCGUAUGUUAAAAAAGUAAAACUUACAAUUCAAAUACUUAAACAUCACAUAAUGCAAUUAAAUUUAAAUUCAAAACUUAACACGUGUUCAAUCCACAUGUUGGACAUGAAUUCCAUCUAUUUUCUCGAUUCAAUGAUUGUAUAGUUCACGUACAUACUUGUACUAACUCGUAUCAAUUUCAUAUUCCUCCAAUUCAUCGAUAUACCCGUUGAACCAUUUCGAAUAAUAUUGGACACUCGGGAAUCUUGCACCCUAAGUGCCAAUACAUACCCGAAGCUAUCUCAAUCUCAUAUCUCAUAUAAUGCUCACUCUCGAGCUAUCAACGAGUCUGCUCACACAAGCUAAUGGUCAAGACGUAACUACACGGUGCUGCUCACACAAGCUGACGAGGAUCCGCAACACAUGCCAGAUAACUUAGCCACCGUUAGAACAUAUGGACUGGCACCCAAAUCCAAUAACCCCUAAUGACAUGUCAUUUGUAUCUUAUUUAUUCCUAAGAUUCAACCGGGAUUUAACAUUGCCGAAUCUUCGUCGAACAUUUCCGUAAAAUCGUAUUCAUAAUUAAUUCAAUAAUAAAGCAUUUAAAAUACAAUUAUAUUAAUGCUUAUUAACAUACGAACUUACCUUAGAUUUAUAUGGAGAGAAACGAGUUAUCAAUCAACUAUCUUGUUUUUCCCCCGAUCUAAAUCCGAACUUCGUUUUUCUUAAUAUGCGCUUCUCCAAGAUAGCCAAAUGCUCAAGCCCUAAAAUGGUGUCUUUUGUUCUUUAAUUUCAGUGAUGGAAGAUGGAUGAAGAUGAAGAAAUGUUCAGUUUUAUUUUAUUAUCACUUAUUUACUAAUUUACUUAAUUAACCUUUUAAAUUAAUUCAAUUUACAAAAUUGUCAAGCCAUUAUCAUCCACUAACAUACUAAAGGUCUAAUUACCUCAUAAGGACCUCCACUUUAAGGUUCCAUAGCUAUUAGACACCUUUAGCUAAUAGAACUCAAAAUUUUCACUUUACGCGAUUUAGUCCUUUUUUUCGAAUUGAGCAUUCAAAUGAUAACAUUUCUAAACGAAAAUUUUUCACAAUCAUACUAUCAUGCUGUAUACAUUAAAAUAAUAAUAAAAUAAUUAUUUUGACCUAAUAUUUGUGGUCCCGAAAUCACUGUUCCGAUUUGACUAAAAACAAGCUGUUACAAUACACAUUGAUGCCAUGUCAACAAAGCUAACAAAUGUUAACUUUUUCAUUCAUUUUGGGGUGAUUUUACAAACAAUAUAAGUUUAUGAGCUAAAAAAGGCAAAAAAUUAAAUAGAAAGCUACAAUAAUUUUUUUUUAUAAAGUUGGAGGGCAAAUAAAUUAUCAUGCCUUUCAGGAUUAAAAAUAAUUAAUUAUAUUGUGUUAGUGGUUGGAUUUAUUUAUUUGGGUAUUUGUAGUUAUAUAUUUGUUUAAUGGUUGAAUUAUCCGCUUAAUUUGGUAAGCUCGACCUAAUUCAAAAUAGGUGUAAGUAAAGUAAUUUUUAAUUUGGGUUGGCUCGAAUUGAUUUGAAUUAAUAUUUUAAUGAUGAAACUAAUUUUUUUUAAGUUAAAUAUAAAAAUAUAUAAUCAUUAUUAUAUUUUUUAAUAUUUUAUUAUUUUUAGAAUAAUAAACCCUAAACCCUAAAUAAACUUAGAUUGAAUAAUUGAAUUUUUUUAAACAAUAUCUUGAUUGAUCCCAAUUUAAACUAAAUUAUUUAGUAAAGUUAUAACACAUUUUGUUUAAUAAUACUUCAUUUUAGUUUAGAAAAUAAAAAAGAAAAAAAGAAAUUUGUGACAUAACCAUUCCUUAACCCGUGAAGCGUUUGAGAUAUUCACUUUUUUCCUCUUCUUUGAGAGAAAGAGGUAUUUCAUUAGAAAAUCAAAUAGGCAAGACAAAAGACAACUCAUUAGAAAAGAGCUAAACUAAACCCAAGCCAACAGGCUCUCCCUAUACAACCAAUCUAAGGCCUUUCCUCACGAACCAGGUCAGAAACAACCAAAUGAAGCAAAGAUACUAAGAAAUGAGGAAUUGAAUUAUAAACAUGAGGACAUGCUUAGGACAAUGCUACGCAAACAAGACGAUGGACAACCUUGUUAGCACUCUUACGAAUCCAAUAGAAAAGAAAGAUGAUGAAAGUCACAACGCAACGUAAUACAAUCAUUGAUAAAAAAAAAUAAACUCAGAAAUACCAUGGUUAUAAGAGUUUAGAGCUCAUAAAGCUUCGAGACAAACAGUUUGCAAGACAACAUUGUCUAUACCUACCAAUUUAUGAAAAUAUACUACUAUAAAACAAAAUCGUUAGCACUAAUAAGAAACCAAACUAAGAGUAAAUAAAUAAAGCAAUCAUUAUGUCGUGGAAGAAUUGUUGCCUUAAAAGCAAAUUCGUCUUCAUCGGUGUAAUCUUCUAGUGGAUAUCGCCCUUCAAGGUUAACAUAGUAUCUCAAUAUUUGUACACCCAAAUAAAGAAAGUGAAACACAAUUGAUAUUAUUUUUCUCGAAAGGAAUCGAAACAAAAAAAAAACAAAAAACAAAAAACAAAAUCAAUUGGUGGGAAAUCUUAUUGGAAAAUAAACUGGAAGAAAAUCGGCGAAAUCACACUAGGUUGAAUUUCCAAAAAAGAUCGGAGGGAUCAUAGACGAUCUCGCUUAAAACCCAAUCUUCUAGACAAAAUUUUGCUCUCGUAUAAUUUCGUAGAACACCAUAAUUUAGAGAACAAAGAGAAGUUGUUUUUCUCUUGUUGUGUUAUGUGAAAAAUUACGAGAAUGACCUCCUGUUUAUACAGUUUUCUAAAUGACAAAAUAGUAAAACAGCCGUGUAAAUUUCCAAAAAUUGCAUAGGAUUUUCUGCAACAAAAAAUAUUCUGAUUUUUUUAUGCAUUACCAACACCAGUUUGAGCCAAGAAAGAGGUUCCCGUAUGAUCAUAACCUCAUCCAUUGUUGCCCGAGACACAACAGGAAGAUGGCCGAUGGCUGCGUGAAAGAAAGCGCCCUCCUCAUCCCUAAUAAUCAGCCCGUAACCUACCUACUGCCCAUCCUCACUAAAAGCAGUGUCAACAUUGCACUUGACAUGGACUACUUGUGGUCGACACCAGCUAGCAACGGGAGCACAACCGUUUGAACAACAGUAGGUUGCACCUGCUGAUAGGCUAAAGCGCAGUAGCUCAGUCUUGCCUGAAGCGAGUAGCAAAAAUCCCAUUUGAGGCCGCUGUAGCUGUGUCCAUACACCAGAGAAACCGAUUAUGAAAAUAUUAGAGAGACCAAGCAGUAACAACCACUCUACCAAGCAAAGGACUAUCAACACCAAGUAGCAACGAAGAGAAGCAGUUAGAAAAAGACACUGACGGAAAUGUAAUAGCAGAUAAAGACCAUACCUGAACCGCAAAAGAACAACCCAUAAGUACAUGGCCAAUGGGAGCCCUUUUCAAGCAAACACUUGGGCGGACAAAUGCUACUCCAAACAAAAGACAAGUUAGUACCCUCGCUUACAUAAAAAAAACUCACCUUUCGAAAAGUAUCUAGGUUUGAAGAGACGACUUAAAAGGGAGUUCGAAUUUGAAAGAAUCCACCUACCUUAUUUGCCAAGCAUGGCUAAACUGAAGUAGUAAAGAUCUUAAAAGCCUGUACUACCCACCUUUUUUGUAGUACAAAGUCUAUCCGAUGAUGCCCAAUGAAGAUUUGCCAAAUUACUAGAGUUUGAAGCCCAUCAAUUCGAGUUCAUAAGCCGUUGCAAACCCAAGUCAUGUACUGACUGGAAGGAGGAAAAUGCUCAUACAAUACAUUGGGAGCGCCUGUCCAAUUGUCUUAAGCACAACUUCCAUACCUGGUCGAGAAAGAAACCAGAUUUUCUAAUUAAAAAGUAUGCUUACAGAGCCUUUCCUAAAUAAAACUGAAGACUUCCUUUAUUUAUUUAUUUAUUACAAUUGAUAAGUGAUGGAAGAGCCAGAUAGCGACCCUACUCAAUCAAGACAUCCACCCCUAACAUCGAUUGAACCAUAGCCCUGUCCAAAAAAGAUGUAUUCGAGCUAAACAACAGUCAAAAUCUUUGAAAAUUCAUUGCCUACCCCGACGCGUCCUCAUAGGUGGCUAAGAUGUCCUUGUUGGAAAAAUAGGGUAAAGAAAACAGUUUUACAGUUAGAAAAAUUAGUUUUUACUCUUUAAACAUUAUAAUUAGAUGUUACUAAUUAAAAGUUGAAUUCCUAUUAUUAGUGUCUAUUAAGUGAUUUAAAAUAUAUAUAUAUAUAUAUUAGCAUUACUUACUAAACCCCUUGAUAAACCUUUUGAUUAAAGAAAUUACUAAAUUGCUAACUAAUUUGAUAUAUGUAAUGAACAUUUUUCAUUAGAAAUUAAUUUUCUAAUAUAAUCCUAUAUGAUAUUAAUAUGUCUACACUUUUCAUUAUAUACAUUAUUGUAUACCCCUAGACAUUUUGGCAGCACAAUCACAAAAUAAAGAAAUGAGUGGCAUUGGAUGUGGGUAAAAAUUGAACACGCUUGCCCAUCUCAGAUUUCAAUCCCACAUUACAUAUUUCAGUAAUUUUUGCCCCUGCUGUUAAAAUUGCAAACAUUAGUAAUUAAAAAAUAGAUAUAAUAAUAAAUUUAGUAAUCAACUUUUAUAUAUUAUAUUAAUUUAAUUAUAGUUUUAAAAGAUUAAUUUUUAAAUUUUAUAAGUGAUCUAAAUUUAAUCCUAAUUCUAAUAUAUAUAUAUAUAAAUACAUAAAUGUUAUUAAAAAAUAAAAUUAAUAUUAAUAUUAAUAUUAAAUAAAAUAAAAAAUCCCCCACCAUCCUCCUCCUCUUCCAACGUUUACUCUCCUUCCCUCCCUCCCUCCCUCCCUCCGCGGGUUGUUUCCUGUAAUUUUUCCUUAUUAAACACAUUAUAUUAGAUAUUAGGUUAAAAUAUGCUUGUAGUUUUUGUACUUUUUAUUAAGAAAUUAAUUUUUUUACUUUUUAAAUUUUAAAUUUCAGGUCUAAUUAUAAAUAUUAUUAAAUUUUUUUUGUUAAAUUUAAGUUAAUAACUAUUAAGUGAAUUAUUUUUUCUAUUUCAAAAUGUCACAAUAACAAAUUUAACUAAAUAAAAUUAAUAAUUGGACUUAAAUUUUAAAAUUUGAUAAAUAAAAAAAUUAAAUUCCUAGAAAUACAAGCACAAAACCUAGAUUCUGAAUUUUUGAAAACUAGAUUUGAAUCUAGGUAUUAUUGUUGAGCAUGCAGCCCUGGUUAGAUGGAUGGUAGCACGACAUUUUGGGGUCACUUAGAAUUUCUUCAUGUCUUGCACUGAAUCAAUUUUCAACGACGGGCUAGAGAUGCUCCUUAAAAGUCUGCAAAACAUCCCACUCUUUUAAUUUCAAUGGUCUUUUCCCGUGAGACGAGUGGGUAUGAGUGGGUGUAAAUAAACACAGGCAAGAGUUCCUGCUUUACUAAAGCUUCUUGUUUACAUUAGAAAGGUUUAAUCCCUAAAGGGAAAUUUACCUUUUCCUUCAAUGGAGAUUUCAUCAAUUAGAGGGCUACUUGAAUUUGUAAGACUCUUUUCAACAAAAAUUUUGAGGGACGGUGGGGACGGUCCUGGCAGAUUUUUAUUUUAUUUAAUAUUAAUAUAAUUGUUAAUACAAAAUUUAAACGUAUAUAUGUAAUUUUAUAUAUAUUUUUUUAAAAUGAGAAUAAAAUUGAGAUUAUUUAUAAAUUUUAAGCGUUAAUUUUUUAAAAUUAUAACUAUAAUGAUAUAAUAUGUAAAAGUUAAAGAAUUAAAUUUGUUAUUAUAUUAUUUUUUAACUGUCACGUUAAUUUGUCAAUUGUAAUUAAAAUGAUCGAACUAUAUAACAUAAUUAUUUAAAUUACAAAAUUUUUAUUAUAAAUGCUUAAAAUAAAUUUUUUUUAUAAUUAAGUAAUUAUAUCUAUAUAUAGUUUACCUUUUUUUCCAAGGAGAUUGUGGAGGUACAAAGAUUGAAAUUGCAGCUCACAAUAAUUGUUAUGAUUAUUAUUUUAAAAUUUCUUUUUGGCUUAUAUAAUAUAGUUAAAUUAUUACUUCAAUAUUUUUAUUUUUUUUAUCAGCUAAGUUUAUGUAUUUUUAUUAUGUAUAUGGUUACCUUUAAUCCAAAUUUUUAUUAAAAAAGUUGAAGUCAACCAAUGACACAUUAUCAUAAGGAAAGUAAACAAUACUUAUAAAUUUUUUAAAAAAAAUUCAGAAAACAAUUUUUAAAAAUAAAAAUACGAAGAAAAAACCCCUCAAAAACCAUGAAACUUGGGUGUGAUGUUUUUUUUGUUGCAAAUCAAUGCGUAUUUUAUCUCUGUAAUUUCGGUCAAACUUCCAGGAUUAUCACUUGUUUCAUCGCAUGUUUUUAGUUGGUGUACUUUUAUUUGUAAAUUCUCAAAAUCUGUAAUGCUUUUGGAAAGAUUUUGAUUAUGGUGUUACUAAUACCAUUUCAUACAUUGUGAGUAAAAUUUUUAAAUUUCACAAGUUAACAAGUCACAUGCAAUUUUUUAAAGAUUAUUACUGUUUCUAAUAUUAACUCAUAAUAUUACUUAGGAUCUGUUUGAUUGACGGAAUUGAUUUUUCGGAAAAUCAUUUCCAACUUUUCCAGCGUUUGAUUGGCAGAAAACAUUUUCCAUUUGGAAAAUGAACUCCAAAAUAAGGGAAAAUGGAUUACAUUUUAGGAAAAAUGUCUUACCCUUUCAAUUUCCGUAAGACAUUUUCCGUGCUCUUCUCUCUAUUGCCUCCUUCAUUCCUUCCUUCAUUUUCGGUAGAAAAUUGCUUCUGUUUAUCGAUAUUCCAGUUACUUAUUUUUUUAAUUAUUCAAUACUUGUUUUUUUAACAUAAUUACAAAUAAUUUAUUUGAUAUUAAUUUUUUUUUCAAUUUAUAACGAUUAAUAUUGUAGCUUAAUAAUUGAGUAUUAUUAUAAAUAAAUCAUUGCAAUAUAUGUAAAAAUAAUUUAAAAUAUAAAAAUUUAUUAAUAUAUAUUAAUAUAUGUAAAAAUAACUUUUUCAGAAAAUAUUUUCAGGGAAUCUGCCAAGCAGCAGAAAAUAUUUUACACAGAUUCAAUCAAACACCAGAAAAUAUUUUCCAGUAAAUUAUUUUACAGAAAAGUAAAAUAUUUUCCAGAAAUCAUUUUACGGAAAACAUUUUACUGGCAAUCAAACAGACCCUUAAAUUAGUAAAAAUUUUAAUUUAAAAUUAAUUAUUAUUUAAUUAAAUAAAUUAUUGAAAAAAUAUGUAGUUAAAAUCAGUGAUUUGGAAAGCGAAGGCGCAUAGCAAGGGAGUUAGAAACCAAGCUUGCAUCCGGCCGGAAAAAAGAAAGGAAUAAAGAAACUUGCAUAAUGCGACCGCCAUCUCUACACUGCAAUUUCUUCUCAUCUCUCAAACAGGUAUUCAUUAUUCAAUCCUAUAUGCCUCCAUACAAACAUGUGCAUGCCUUUUUAUAUUAUCUGAAUUCGUUUCCUCAAAUUCUUAAAGGUUGAAAAAAGAUUGAAACUAGAAGAAAACCAACCAGAUUCAGGACAACCCCAUGUCCCUACUCAAUCUUUUAGCACCCCACUUUACCUGCACUUAACCCACCCUUCCAACACUAACAUAACCAACAGCGAACCCCCUCAAGCUUUCAUGUCUUCUUCACCUCAGUCCCUUUCUACAAAUGAAACCCAUCCUCAGAUUAAUCCCCCUCAUUCCCCCGCAACAAGCAAAGACACUGAUGAUAUCGAAUAUUUGAUGCAGCUUUUGGGUUUAUCGGAUAAUCUGGGAGAAACCCAGAAAAGAGAGAAGCACAAAACUGUUGUUGGUGGAGGGAAUUCUUGUGGAUGUGAGUGUGGAUUUUAUGAGAAGAUUGUUGGUGUUAAAGGGCCAAAGUGUGACAAAGAAGUGGAAAGACUGGAAGGUUGGAUUAUAUAUUUCUCCAGGAAUGGUAGUGAGCCAUUGAGGUUGGCUUUCUUGCUUAUGGCUAAAGCUGCUUUUGAGAGUGCUGAUGAUUCUGGGUUUCAAACUCUGGAGUUUCCGUCAAUUAUAGAUGAAUUUUUAAAGAUUGACCCACCUAAAGACUGACAGUCUGAGACAUUACUAGGAUGUAAUGGUAAUAUGAAAAUACUUUUUGUUUUGGACUAGCUGAUUUAUACUUGUACAUUUUGCUUGGACUUGCUUUUAUAUUUACUUUUGAUUGGUUAAUCACCAAAACUUUAUAUGCAUGAUAUAUAUAAGUUUGUACAUUUAUUUAGAUUUGCUGAUAUAUAUACUUUUAAUUGGUUAAUUGCCAAAAACCUAAAGACAAAAACAAAGAUGCAAUCUUUUUCAUUUCUCACUUGUGAAGAGUAACUGCUAUUACAUAUAUUUAUCCUUCCAAUACAUUAGAAUCGAAUGGAGUCUGCAGUUAUGCUUCUCCAACACAGCUGGGUGCUCAAUUCUUCAUGAGAUUAUGGCCUCAUUUUCAUAGUUAUUUGCUUUUAGCUUUGAAAGGAUAGACAAAACCUCGUUCAUGUUGGGUCUUUCCUCAGGAUUAGGGGAGGUACAAAACAAGGCUAGCUUGAAAAGUUCCUCCACUGCUUCCAUUUGUUUAUUGGAAUCAUUUGAAGCUAGCAUAGGAUCCAAAACUUGGAGGACUCCUUUGGUUCCAGUAGCAAGGGAUUUCUCAACUCGUUGACGGAGACUGACUGGCUGUCCGUCCUCUUCCAUUAGUCCAGUUGGUCUUUGUUUUGUUAGGAACUCCAUGACUACUAUGCCGAAGCUGAACACAUCCACUUUAGUUGUGACAUUCCUCAUGUAUGCAAAUUCUGAAUGAGGGCAGAGUAAUGUCUCAGUAAUUCAGGUUUUGAAAUCU